UCUGACAGUACAUUGUCUUAAUGAUGGAAUUCCUAGCCCACGGGACUGCUCCACCUGGAAGAAUAAUUAUAAGGAAGCUGUUCAUCUCUGCCUCUCAACACCACCAAGCCUUAAGGUAAGUUCCUGUCAAACAACGUCAUCGGUUGCUCUUGCCUCUUUCUCUUCUCCUCCUCUUCUUCAUUUUCUCCCCCAUAAGAAUUACAUGAUUAGAAGCCAGCAAGGUCAAGUGAGGUCAAGGGUCCAACUAGGAAGUUGUGUGUUCACAGGGCAGGUCCCAGGACGGCAGUGGAAAGCCCCUGACGUGGUCAUUUAGUGAGGCAAAGAUAUCUGGCUCAGACUUACACAGGGCGCAGGAUGCAGCUUUUACAAGCCAACUUGAAAGGACAGCAGUGACGUUGUGAUGUUUCCUUACCUGGAGUAUUGCUUGACUUUUUACCUGCCCUGUGGAUGGGAAGCUUCAGUCUCUGGAGACAAGGAGGGGAAAUCCCCAUGAUGUGUUUUAAUUAGCCCAGUUCCCUCAUUGUCUAUAAAGAUAUGAACAUUGUGUGUCUGUGUGUGUGUAUGUAACUCUGUCUUUAUAUCUAUCUGCAUUCCAUAAAAGGAACAAGGCAUAAGAUGAGAUUAUUAUAAAACAGCAUGUUGGUUCCAUUUCCAAUUGAUGCUUUAAUGUGUUUUUCAUUACUAUCUGAACCCUUCUCAGAGAAAAUCCUUCCAAUAUUAAGUUGCGGGUCUAAUUUUUAGCCUGAUGAGGGGUAGUUUAAGUGUGUAGUGUGUUCAGGAUCCAGGACGUGCUAGUGUGUAUGCUGUGAUCACCUUCCUCUCUGACUUCCAUUCAAAUGACUCAACAUUCUAACUGUCCUUGUAGAAAUCAGGUCAAAUAGUCAUCACAUUAAGAAUCUGGCAAAGGUUUGUAUUCUUUGCUUUUGGGAUUUCACAAGCAUUUUGGAAUGGUGGGGAAGAAGAGUCUUGAACCAGACAGGAGGCCAGCAUUAGCCCAGUUAACAAGUAUGGCACUUACUAUGUAGGGUCACUUGCCUGUAACUAUUAUAGCUACGAGGUGAGCUAGCCGACUCUGUGACUUACAUUUUAUAGAUAAGAUUACCAAAGCAUCUGACUACCGGUUGCAUGUUUAGGAAGUGGUGGACCUGGUGGACCUUCUAGCCACAAAGCUGACCAGGGUUUGCUUUUCAGUGUUCUCUGGUACCCUUUACACAAAUUCCCCCUUCUCUGUUAGCUUUGGUUUCUUGAUUUAACCAGGGAACUCAGUGCUAACUAUUCUAAAGUGUCAAUAUAAAGAUGUAAUAAUCCUUGUAUUACCAUAAACAUAGAGGGCAUAUUUAAUAAUUUAUUCACUUACCAUUCUUUACAAUGCCAUCCAAAUAGAGAAAUUGGCAUCUAAGACAACUGGAAUUUGGUGUUGUGGCCCUUGUUGCUGGCCACACAUUAGAUUGUGCUGAAGAACUUCCCCAAAGUGCUAAUUCUGACGUGGAAUAGGGCACAUUCAGGGUGCUGGUGGUGUUCUAUUAAUGUCCCUGGUGACCCUAGGUGUGUGGUAGUUGUGAUGAUUUUUUGAGCUGCACAUGGAUACUAGCUUUGUUCUUCUGGAUGCAUCUUGUUCAAAUGACAUGUACAUCAAAGAAUGUCAAUUACUGGCUUCACCCCUCAGAGCAUUUGAACCAGCAGCUCUGAGUAGGACCUCAACACCCUUUUCACUCAAGUGCCUUUCAGAUGCUGUUAAUAUGCAGCCAGCUUUGACAAGUCUUCGAGUGAAUUCAACAUCGGCACGUGAGCCAGCUAAGGGAGCCAGGGUUUACAGAAGCAUCUGCCAGAUUCAGACAUCUGAGGAGGUGUCCAGCAAUAGGUAUGAGGCUCAGGUGAAUGUCCUCGUUUCAUCUAAGAAUCACCUCAAAAAUACGAAGUAGAAUACACCUUUAGAUCUAUUAAUUUCAUCAACAAGCACUUAAUUUUGCUAUCCUUCCUUCUUUAAUAACCACUUCUAUAAAUAUCUAUUUUAAUUAACCAUCCUGUUUUGUGAACAUCAUUAUCCAGUAAAACCUAAGUAGUUUGAAAAGAAAAGGGAAUAAAUUUGUGAGUUAGGAUGUCUACCCUCUUCCCAAGGGCCCACAAUUGCAAGUUUAGUCAAACAAAUGCAAUAAACGUCUGCGUUGUUUCCUCCCCCAACAGAAAUAAUCAUCUUAUUUGUCUCUUACUAUUGGGAUGCUGGUUUGGGGGACAAUGCUAUUAUAAUUUGCAUCUCUCUCUCUUUAUGCUAAUACACAUAUUCAUGUUCUAUGUAAGUUACCUUAGAAAAAUGUUUUAUAAAAAUAAAAACUGCCAGCAUGCUGGCUCACACCUGCAAUCUCAGCAAUAUAGGAGGCUGAGGUACGAGAAUCACAAGUUUGAGACCAGCCACAGCAAUUUAGUGAAGCCCCAAGCAACUUAGCAAGAUCCUGUCUUGAAAAAAAAAAUACAAACAGACUUACUCUAAAACAUUACAACUUAAAAUUAAUUUUAAAAUAAAGUAUAUGGCAAUUCCUUUGUAAUAUUUUGUCACUGACUUUCUAGAGAUUUUUUUUAAUCAAUCUACUUAUUUUGAUUUUUUUAGUUGGUAAAAAGACUUCUACAAGAUGAAAUUUCAGGUAUUUAUUACAUAUAUUUAAUGAAUAUCUUGUCUGUUUCAUAGACAAGAAUGUCCGUCUUCUUUUAUUUGAAUUCCUUCUCUUCAUUUAAGUUUUUGUUCACCCAGGGUCCUAACUAAUGAGAAACAAGAGCAUUUGCACAUCUUCUUAGCCAGAAGGAAACGUGUAGUAUUGAAGAAGCAGCGAUGUUUGAUGAUCAUGUUUAAACUGAGUUAUCAGAAGGGCAAACUUGGUCAUGGCCAUAUUUUUUCAAAAGCAUAAAUAUCAGGUUUGGGGUAUGGUCCAAGAAGGCAUAUGUCUACCGGUUAUAUUGGUUGAUGAGAUAAAAUUUAAAAAGGAACAAGGAAAGAAAAUACUAGUCUUAUGCUCAAUCUGUCCACCAGUAAUAUUGACAUCAUCUCCAUCUAGUCUCCAAUCAGACGAGCUUUAGACUUCAAUAGAUUUAAUAUACUGGCAAAGCUUCUGGGUAAAAGGUAAAAGAAGCUGCAAAUAUUGAAAUAUAAAGACUAUUCAGUAUUAUGCCAAUAGCAGUGUGAACGGUUGGGAGUACAAACAGAUACACUGAAGCUAUCCUACUAAUGUAAGAUUUAUGCUGCCGAUAACCAUUGCAAUUAAGUAUAAUAUGCUAACACCAUGGGAUUACACAUUUCAGUUGAUAAGGGGGAAAAAGGCAUUAGUUUUGGAUAGUUCUUACAUAUAAUAAUAGCUGGUAUAGUAGAAAGAAAAAUGAAAAAAAAAAAAUCCUUUCCCUGGAUUAGCAGAGAAAGCUACUGUCCGUGAGAGCCGUUAUGAUUUUUAUGCAUGUCUCUGGUUUGGCUUCAUUCACAGAUGGCACAGAUAUUACUUAAAUAAGACUUCAAGAGAGAACACAGGUUUUUGAAAAUGGGGAUUGGUCUCCGAUGCUGUGGUUGCUGGGUAAUGGAUUAACAACUGUCGCUGUAAAAUCCAUUCAUUUCUUCUUAUCGCCCAGGGAACAGGCAUCGGAUCACUCUCUGUAGUUUAGACUUUCACAGAAAGGUGGACACAUUACAGUGGAGCGCCAGGUUUUAUUUCUAUGUGAUAAUAUUCUCAUCGUGAUGUUUGACCUCCGCUAUCAAAUGCCUUUGUUAUCUUAAUCAGUUGUCAUUGGCACACUCACGUGAUUUUAUUGCUGUUUUGUUUUUACACAAUAUUGGUAAUUUGAACCGGUACCAAAAUGAUCAAAGAUUGGCAAUUUCACAAUUUCAUAUGGCUCAAUCUAGUGUUAAUUUCCUUAUGGACGAGAGAAAGAGCAGGGAGGAUUUUACAGCAAAUAGCAAAGAUAAAGGGGAGGGGGUGCACGCAUGCACAUGUGCACGUGCAGUUGCUGGGUGCCAUCCUAUGCACCACGAAGGCAGAGAAGAAGCAGGUUCAGCCCUGGCUUUUGUGAAGGUGAUAUGUCCACAGAGAGAAUGGCUAUCAGACAAAGUAGUGUGCAAGAGAAUUCCAGAUAGGUGCUCUGCAAAACAAGUUAUUCAGGGAAGGGGACUCAUCAGAGACUUGGAUUGUAAGUGGAGAUUCCAGGGACAGCAAUUUUAGAGAAAGUAGCCAGGGAAGGUCCAAAAUCCCAUUAAGCAUUGUAGAGCUCAUCACAGAAACAUUUUAUAAACAAAGUCUAAGUGAACAGUAUCAUAGGUACUUACCUGUCAUGAUGGUCUUUGUGUGCAUUCCUAAGCCAUCAGAGGAAUGGCUACACUUCUCAGACUACUCUGGAUAGUUUUGCAUUGACAUCUGAUAAAAAAAAAAAAAUCCUGGUCCUUAAAAUUUCCAAUUGUCAUCUCAUUUAUGUCAGGAAUAGUGAAGAUAUUAGAAAUAAGAACAAUACUUAUAUGACCUUUUAAAGGUUAACAACUUAAAAACUAUAUUAUACUUCAUUCAUACAUGCAAUUAUAAACAGUUAACAAUCCCUAAUAAAUUAAUCAUACUGCAUAUAUGUAACAGAUAUGGAAUAUUUUGAUUCUUGGAUAGAGAGCAAAUUCACAUUUCCGUCUUUAGUCUCCUUUAUUUUACAGGCUCCGAUGGCCCUUGUUAGUGGGUACAAAAUGGGAACCAAUUCAGUUAAGAGCAGAGCACCAAUUCACUUAGGCCAGGGCAAUUAUUGUCCCAAUUCCUUCAUAUCCAGUUCAGACUCUAAUUGCAGCUACUUUUUUAAAUGAUUAUUUUCUAUAUACCAGCAUGUGCUCAAUACUUUAAUGCAUUAUAUUUUUAUUAUUUCCCAAAAAUUUGUAAUACUCUCAUAUAUGUUUUACAUAGGAAUAAUAGGCUUAGUGAAGAAAAAUAACUUUCUAAAGCUCACGCAUGAAUUGUGUAAAGAAACCAUGCUUAGAAUCCCAGCAUUCUUGAGGACAUGUUCUUAACCACUAAGCAACAAUUACCUACUCAGUAAGAAAUGCUCACAUGGGAGCAAGAACACUUCAAAUGAGAUGACAGAAGGAAAGCACUCUUAUAGCCGGAAGGGCCUUCAGCAACCACUGCCAUUUCUGACCUACAUUUGGGAAUUCCAUUCCCAGAUACUAUGUGGUCAGAGAGCAUGUGGAAGACCAAGACCUGCAGCUGCAUUUGUGUUUAUCUUCAAGCUAAGUUAGCCCGGAUAUCUCAGAAACAGUACGUGCCUACAUACUCCUGGAGCUCCUGCGCAAACCUGUACAAUCCAUAGUUUUGGCUCUCUCCGGUUAUACGACUCUGAGCAUCAUCACUUUUGGAGGAACAACCAGCCUCAUAAGGGAUUCCAGAUGUUAUUUCUGCCACUUUUGAACCCCAGUGGGUAGGAAAAAAUGUCAGAACACGGAGCAGACUCCCUUGUGGGACUUCCCCACCCAUCGUUUAAAUCCAACGCAAUAUAGCCAAGUCAUUCUUACUGACUCAUAAGAUGAACAUGUUUCAAGGGGCAAAGCUUUCCAAUGCAAUUUUCAAAUAAUAGUCUUAAACAGGUAUGCAGGGGAAAGAGCUCUGGAGAAGGAGCAUGCUGAACUGAUGUCUGUUGAAUACUCACUCUGGACAGACAGCUACAGCACCAUGAUCAGGGCCGUGGGAGUUUAGGGUGAGUCUGUGCAUUCCUUUGUGAGUAUAAUUACCUCUCAUCACCUGGUUUCCACUCAGUGUCUUUCCCAUUUCUGUCAAUGUUGCCUACACUGAGUCAUAUUCAUGCUAGCUGUAGCUAUUCUUUGAUUUUAAAAUUAUUUUGUAAAAGCAUAGAGUACUAUAUGCAUAUACGACACAUUUUUAUUUAUACUAAUUUUUUAAAUUUGAUGCAGGUUAGAAAAUAUGCAAUGUCCAAAAGCUUGUGAAGAAGUUACUCUUUUUGCAAUGGACAGUCGGGUCAUUUUUGUUCCCUGGCAGAGGAGAAUCUUUGUUAUUAAACACAUCAAAGCUUUGCUUUUAGGAAGGUUGAUCUUCUUCAUCCUUCCCUCUCUGAGUCAGAAUUUCAAAUUUUUUUUCAUGGAAAUGAUUGUUGAAAAGUCAUAAAGAGAAAAUGUGCUCCUCUGUCUCCAUCUCUCUCUUCGUUAAGCUUCAGAAAAACGAGUCUUGGCAGAAGAUGAAAUAUAUUAUUGUUAUUAAAUACAUUGCUUUGUGAUUCAUAGAUAAGCAUUUGUAUUGUCAAAUAUUUGUAGAAUUCACACGAUAAGACCAAUUUUCCUACUAAGUUUUUUAAAUUUUUCCUUCUCUUUUUUCCUUCCUGAAUUCCAAGAGGAGGCUUGAUAUUAAAUCUCCACAUCGGAGAGAAACUAUGCUGAUGUCUCCCUUCUUCCUUGGGUUCUGUUCAGUGGCUCGACUACAAACACAAGGUCUGCAGAGAGUGUGAGAGGAGUGAGUUCCUCCGGGUGCUUCCUCUGGGCCCCACUGAGCUGUGAAACCAGGCUUCCACCUCAGUUACUGGGACUGUCACAUCUGGAAAGGACAAUGUCGGGAAGCAGGCACAGUCCCCCCCCCCCACUUGCUGGUGAUGGGCAUGUCAUAGGAAUGUGCACACAUAGCUUUUAUUUUAAGGAGGGAGAGUUUCAAGACAGGAGUCUCUCUCUCUGAAUCACUCUUCAAAGAUAUAUUUGAUAAUCUUUCUGGGAAAACAUAGAAUAGCAUUUCAAAUUUUCAAAAAGCCUUCUCCAUUUAGAUAAUCUUGCAUUUGCUAUCAUUCCUUAAAAUUAUCAUAUACAUUCACAUAUACACUGAUUCCCAAGUAUUUAAACAGCUAUUUUUCUUCAAACCUGCCUCACCCAUGGGUCCUGUCACCAAUAGUGCCUGAAGGCUGAUGUUCACCUUGCUCUUCCCCCACAUGGAGCACUUCGUCUUACACAUUUCCAUUAUCCUUACAAAGGGAUAUGAAUUAUUUGUGCAGAGUGCAGAUGGCUUAAGCCAUCAUUUCCCAAAAUGCAUUCCAACAAAGCAUACUUGCAUGGGAAUUCCAUGGGUGUUUUAAAAAUUGGGAUUCUACAGCCCAUAUGCCUAUUAAUAGAUGAGUGGAUUUAGACAAUGUGGUACAUAUGCACAAUGGAGUUUUACUUAUCCUCAAAGAAGAAUGAAAUCAUUGUAUUUGCUAGUAAAUGGCUGAAACUGGAGAAGAAUAUGCUAAGUGAAAUAAGGCAGACCCAGAAAACCAAGGGUGAAACGUUAUUUCUCACAUGUGAAAGCUAAUGCAAAAUAAAGGAAAGAAGGUGGGGAUUGGAUAUCAUGAAACUAUAGGGGAGAUCAGUGGAGUAAAGAAGGAGUGGGAGAAGGAGGGAGGGGAGACAGCAUAGAGGAGGGAAACCAAAUGCAUUUAGCUUCAUCACAUUAUGUGCACACAUACAUACACCACAGGGAAUUUGAACUUUAUGUAUAUGUAGAAAGCACCAAUCAAAAAUAAAUAAAUAAGUGAGUGGAAGGCGGAUCAGAGCAGAGGAAGGAAGACGGCGGAGGUACAGGAAGAGAAGGGGGGACUGAAAUGGAGUUAGUCACAUUCCAUGCAUUGUCAAAAUGAGCCCGAUUAUUAUGGAUAACUACAAUGCUCUGAUAAAAUAAAUGAAUGAUAAAAAUAAAAUUUAAAAAGUCUCUUUCAAAUGUGUAUAGAAAUACUCCAGGUUGAACAAAAUUUAAAUAUAGAAAAAAACUAAAAUUGGACACUUUUCUUGAUGUUCUCAGAGCCUUUCAUGAGCUUGAGAAAUUACAAGACUCUCAAAAGGAAAUCUCAGAAACAUUCUCUUUUUUCCUUCCUCCAGAAAACCUCUGGCAGGGCAGUGGGCUUCCCUCAGCCGGAAGUGGGCUUUCCAGCUCAGCUGAACAUUCCGGAACUGACUUUCAGUCUUGGCUCGGGUGGGGCCAAGGGUCAGAGAGUCACCUUCCACGUGGUGGCAUUGGUGCACUGUUUGCUGUUUCAUGUGUUUUCCCAGCUUUCAGAGACUAUUCCACAAUACUUCAGCUGUCCCUCAUCACCCCAGCGACCUGUUGAAAUGAGAUUAGCAACAUUUAUUGCACGAUCUGUGAACGCUCACACACACUGCAUGAGGUCUUGGCAUAAAUGGUUCAGGUUAAGGAUAAGUUGUCACUUCUUGAUUUGGGACAGAUUCUCAGUCAUUUUGAGGGUCUUCUUUGGGAUGCCAUAGCAUCUGUGACAGUAAGGGAAAGGUACCUAACAGAGAUGCCUGUAAACCUUGGUAAUGUCACCUGACCCAGGCAGCAGAAACAGAGAGGCAUGGUGCAUGGUUGUUGGUAUCCAGCCACUAAUCACCAAAAAGCCAAAUGGCAUGAUAAUUACUCUGCAACAGAAACCAUCAGAUUUCUUUUUAAUUUUUUAAAUUUUUUAAAAAUUUGGUCAUUCAAAUGUUUAUUUUGCUAAAGCCUGCUUAACUCAUUUCUUCAUUGGAAUUUUUCCUGACCACAUUUGCUGAAUUCACAGGGUGUUUUAUUAUUAGACAAAGAGCUCAGCACAGAGCAGGUGGUGCUUGCACUAGCCAAGGACCUUGAGCCUAUUAGCUUAUUAUAACUGCUAGUCUGUCCCAGGACCAAGGUGAAGCAUGGGAUCUCUGGUAGAAAAUGACAGAGAGCAUGAGAAACUCAAAUACAGACAGUUGAGGGGCAAUAACGAUUUCACUGAGCUCAGCUGAAAGCUAGUUGAUAUUAGUAAAAAUGCCCCCCUUAAAUAAAGUGCUAACAUUUUAAGGGGCUGUCAGAACCCAGAAUGGGGUGGAUCAAGGUUCUUCAUUGAUGAGAGGUUAUUUCUGGUUCCGUGCAUGGUGCUCUUUGUUGCUUGACUCUGUUAACAAUAUGUUACAGACAUGUGAUUCCACCCGUCUACAUUAAAACUGAAACACCCCAAACCAUUCAAUGCUCUACCUACGGGGUCUUCAUUCAUCUAUCCUACUGUCUCCGUCCACCCAAGUUUGUUAACUAUGUAUGCAAACGCUGGUUUGGUGGGACAAGUACAGUUUUAAUACCAUAUGUUUAUGGAGAACACGUUUCCUCCUCUUUUCAAGAAAUAUCUUCUCGUGUCUUUGUACAACCAUGUAAGGAGUUUAUUUUCAAGUCCUAUCAAUUAAUUAUCACUCGUGAUCCCUAGGGUCAGUAGUGUCCGCUGGGAAUCCGCCCACCUGACAUCUGGAAAGAACUGCACAGUUAGCAGACCACCUUCGUAAAGAACCCACUUUCAUUGUUUUCCAUCUGUUCUGGAAGGUGACCAUGAAUAAUGCAGGAGGGACUGGGCGUGUCCACACUGGAAUCUUGCUGGUGCUCCUAGGUGUUUUCCUUCACCAGAAUCCGGAGAUGUUGCUGCACCACACUGAACUCAGCUGGCCUAAUACUUGGCCUGUAAGAACUUACAAGAUGAGCUGGGCGUGGUGCCACAGGCCUGUAAUCCCAGCAGCUCUUGGGAGGCCAAGGCAGAAGGAUCAUGAGUUCAAGGCCAGUCUCUACCUCUAAAUAAAUAAACAAGUAGAUGGAUAGAUAGCCAAGUACUGGGUGUGUGGCUCAGUGCUUAAGCACCCCUGGGCUCAAUCCUUGGUAAAAGGAGGAGGAGGAGGAGGAGGAGGAGAAGGAGAAGGAGAAGGGGGUGGGGGAGCCAGGGAGUUGGAGGGAAGGAGGAGGAGGGAGGAAGGAAGAAGCAGGAGGAGGAGGAAGGAGAAAGAAGAAGAGGAGGAGGAGGAGGAGGAAGGAGAAGGAGAAGGAAGAGGAGAAGGAGAAGGAGGAGGGGAGAGCCAGGGAGUUGGAGGGAAGGAGGAGGAGGGAGGAAGGAAGAAGCAGGAGGAGGAGGAAGAAGAAAGGAGAAGGAAGAAGAAGAGGAGGAGGAGGAAGAGGAGGAGGAGGAGGAGGAGGAAGAGGAGGAGGAGGAGGAGGAGGAAGAGGAAGAGGAAGAGGAGGAGGAGGAGGAGGAGGAAGAGGAGGAGGAGGAAGAGGAGGAGGAAGAGGAGGAAGCCAGAGAAGAGCUUUUGUUUCUGCCUUGUGUUCAGAUGACCCUCUAAGUAGACGAUGGGACGUCUAUUUUGACUUGUGUCUGUCCAGACUUGAAGAACCAUGUGCUAAAUCAAAGCUGCUCCUGGCCUUCGUUGCUCUUCUGUUUUGAAACCAUUGUGUAAUUCUGGAGAGACUUGUACAGGAGCCCAAAAUCUGCUGGCAGGGGGCUGCUGUCUUCAAAAUGAAAACAAAUGCUCUUCCCUGCUUCCCCUGCAGCUGUCUUUCUGGGACUGUGUUGUUCUACCUCCUUGAUUACAGGCUUUAAAAAAGAUCCGGGGAAGAGCCUAGCUGGGGAGGAUCCUGGAGGGAUGCGAUUUCUUGAAUUCAGACAGUUUAUCAGCUCCCUUUGUAUGCAUUACUGGGUACUGAGGUAUUUUGCAGGUCCUAUAAAACCACAAGCAUUUGGCCUGGGGAGUGUGACAGGAGGUGUAUUUGAAUGGAUGGAAUAAGAUAUAGAUUACGAACUAUAUUUAACCUUGGUUUUAUUAUUUUCCAGUCCCCAUAAUUAGAACCAGUCUAACAAAGUGUUGCCUAGUCGUUGUCUCUAAGUGGCUUUUCUUAGUUAAUAGCUAAUAAUGAUUUGUAAUUAGCAAAUAAUUUGAAUGUAAAUAGAUUCUUCUACACUGCCUACCAAUGCUUGAAAACAAUUUGUUCUCUUAAAUAGCCUAGAAAUUACCCAGGCAGUCUUGAUGAUGCUGUUAAUUUGUUUGGUUAAAAAAAAAAAAAAUUCUGUAUGAGAAGUAUAAAGGAAACUUCAGCUCCACCUGAAUUCUGUACGUGAAUUGUAACAUAUUGAACCUUUGGACUCCAAACAGAUGAACCAGUUCUGGUGUCAGGCAGCAGUCAAUAUGGGGGGAAAUAUGUGUCAUGGAAAAGAAUUCAAAAUAUGCCUUAGUAGGUCACUGGAUGCCUCAGAAAAAUGCUUAAGCCUAGUAAUGUGGCCAAAGUCCUUAGAAUUUCCCUGGCAGUGCCCUCAAAUUGGAAGGUGAAGAAACCCCGAGAAAGGGAAAUGCAUUAGGAAAUUACGAAUCUGGAUGGGGAAAAUGAAAGGUUUGGAUGGGAGCUCGAAAGUGAGCUAGCACAGGAGCCAGGGUGCCCCCCACCAGUGGGCCAGCGGGACCCGGUGACACGUUCCGAGAGGAAUCUGAAGGAGACUGAGAAGUGGAAGGUGAUCCCCAGGUUUGGACCUGAUUCCUUCAUUUGUCAAAUCCUUGCCCGUCAUCACAAAGGGGACCUAGAGGGGAAACAAGGCCUCAAAGAUGUCACACCUUUGGGAAAAGAACAUUUCCAAGCACUGAAGGGUUCACUUUGUUAAUUUCAUAGGCAACAUCCAGCACACUGACAGACCAACACUGUCAUUCAGAUACGGCCAGACAGGAGCAGCAGGAGUAAUUCUAUAAACUGAGCCCACUGGGCUGACCCCCCAAUACUUUCACUUUUAAAAAGCAAUUUACCUGCAGCCCUGCCUGGUUGAAGUCCACAGCACAUGUUAUAUUCCUCAGCAAACUACUUGUUCUCUACAGGAGAAAUGCAGUCCCCGAAAUGCCAAUAGGAAGAACACGAGUCACCCUGUGGUGGUGGGGACUUCUGUGACCCUUAUACAGAUCAGAUCCUGGAAUUCAGGGAGUUAAGAAGAAUGUUCCCUAUCUAUACAAUCUGUAAGAAUUUAUAAUUAAGAAUCCAGUUACAACUGGUCAGCAAGGGCCAAAGUGACCUAGAGAUGCCAUGGCAAUGGGGACUUGACAAUCUGAUGUCAUCUUGCUGUCAGUCAAAAGUCAAGAGGUAGAGCUGGGCAGGACUCUCUGGAACUUCCCUAGGACCCUCUGCAUAAAACUGGAGGGAAGAAGGAGCAUGCCAUCCAUCUCCUGUCUGCGAGGAUCCAGUCUCUCCCUUGAGAGUGUCCCUUUUCCCUCUUCCCAACCCUUCCAAUAUAAGCCCUUGCCUUUUAUUCUGAGCAACUUGUGAAGUCUUUCUGUCAUGAUCACAAGAACCAGGGUGAAGGGGGGUCCUCUGCAGCUGCCUUAGCUUUGUGGGGGACUGAUGUCCUGUAACACUUCCACACUGGGAAAUGUGCUUGAUAUGAUUUAGAGAAGAGUUUCCUAAUGGUCCAUGAGUUAAAGACUUGGUCCCCAGCCUCUGACACUAUUAGGAAGUGGCGGAACCUCUAAGAGGUGGGCCGUAGGACAGGAAAGUAAGACCCCUUCCUCUUUUUCUCUGUUUUUCCAGCUGUAGAUAUUUCUAUGUCAGCCUACAGAAAGAGUCUUAUUACAUUUAUUUUCAACAGCAUUCUUCUAUGUGAAAUGUACCACGAUUUAUUACACCUGUCCUCUGUUGGUGAAUGUUAUUUCCAAUCUUUUACUAUUAGAAAGAGUGCUUUUGCAACUCCAUGUACUCCCACCAUGAUGUUUGCUUCGCCACUGGCCCAAAAGAAACGAAGCCAAUGAAUUACAAAUUGGUACUUCUGAAACUGUGACCCAAUAUGUCUUUUUUCUCCAUAAACUGUAUUUCCGGUUUUUAUUUGUUUGUCUGGUGAUAGUGAUGAAGAGCUGUCUAACACAGUGCUCAGAGACUGACUUUUCUAAAAUCAGGUAGACUUUUAAUCUGUUGCAUUAUGGAGAGACUGAGGGCCACUUGGUCACCAGGCUUUAUGGGCAGGGUCAGGCUGAAAAGACUUCUGGUCGCAGCAUCCCUGGCAUGUCUACCCCUAGUUUUGCAUCAGUCUAAAUGACUAAAAUGCACACCCCUGGCCCUGCAUUUCCCUACUGAAUUUCUAACCUACAUUAUAAGCAAUGUAAUAUUAUUAGAAUUUUAUCUCUGCAAAUUUCCCUACCACCUAACGUAAUUGAAUGUCUCCUUAUCACCUUUUCCCUGGCACUUGCUAUACCUCAGUUAUAACAUUUAUCGCAUGUCUGUGACUAUAUUUGGCUCCUCUUAACUUUGUUGACUAAGUAAGACGUUCAUGUGAUUUACACAUUUAAGUGGCUGUUCCUUCUCCUCACCCCUGUUUAACAUCUCAGCAGACACUACCUUGCCCUCCCUGCCCCCAGAUAGUAAUUGUAAUUGGGUUUGUGUGUCCUUCCAAAGUUUCUUUCUGAACAAAUAAGCACUUUCAACUAUAUUCUUUUUUUUCUCCCUCUCUGCUACCCAGAGAAUAAAGCAUGUCCUAUACAUUGUCCUUUUCCUUGUCCCUUUGAACUUAAUGUUCCCAGAAGAUACUUUUACGUCAGUCUGAACAAACAGCUUUCUUGUUGUUAUUUUCAGUUAUGUUCUUCUAUUUGGAAUGAACCACGAUUUCUUACCCCUGUCCACUAUGGAUGAAUAUUAAGCUGCUUCCAAUCUUUUGCUGUUAGACAUGGUGCUGCUAGCGUUGUUCUGUGUCCCUAACAUCACAUGUGUAAUCUAGAAUUGCCUUAACGCUGAUGAUGGUGCCGAAUUGCUCUGCACUGGGUCUGUAAGAAUUUGGAGACCUCCCAGAAAUAUUUGGGUAUUUCUGAUUCUGGAGACUUAUCAUCCCAGAUAAGUGCUGUUUAACCUUUGCAUUUUUGCUAAUUUAAUACAUGAAAAUCAGUACCUCUUAAUCACAUUUUUCUUAUUAUGAAUAAAUUUAACUCUCUAGGAUUUCUUUUCCUUGAACUCCUUCUCCAUAUUCGUUAUACAGUAUUGCACUGAAUUAUCACUCUUUUUUCCUUUCAAUUUCUGUGUGUGGGGUGAUCUAUUAGGGAAAAUUGCUGGAUUUUGUCUGUAAUGUGAACUGCAAUACUGUGAAUGAAUUUGUCAUUGUUUCUGGACUUCACUGAUGGAUCUUUGGUUAGUUUUUUUUUUUCUUUCCACCCAGAAUAUUUCUUUUAAUAUUUGCAUUCUGAAAUUCUUUAAUUAUUUUUCUUUUUGGCUUGUGACUUUUGAGUCAUAAGUUUGAAAGACAUCUCCAUUCCAUAUUUCUAGUAAUUCUAUUGAUUUAGUUUUUUUCCCAACUUUAAGCCUUGAUUCACUGGGAAUUCAUCCAAAUAUAAAAAUGAGUGAUGAACCUAGUAACCCUAUCACUGCUUUUUUAAAAUUUUUUUUUUAUUAGUCUGUCUUUUCUACAGUGAUUUGAGAUAUUCUCUGUCUCAUUGUAAAAUUGGGCUGGAGGCUUCAGAGUUGUUUCUGGGCUUUCCGGUUCAUUGAUGUGUCUAUCCAGCAUCAGUACCACACAGGUUUUGUUAUUAGUAUUUUGCACUGUGCUCUGUGGUUUAAUAUCUGGCAAGGUUAGCCUCCACCUCUCAUUAUUUCUCUUCUUCUUUCUUCUAUAAUCCCCCAAAUUCUAAAACUGGAAUUUAUAAGUAAGAGAUGACAUUUUAGUGGAAUCACACUAAUUUUAUCAACUUAUAGCAACCUGACAUCUCUUCCAUGUUACAUCUGCUGAAGCAUGAACACACUACGUCUUCUCACUUUUUCCAAUUCCUUUUGAUGUCCUCCUAUAGGAGUUUAUUCAGUGUAUUUCCAAGAAUUCCUUGUUUUAUGGCAAUUAAGGAUGGAGUCUAUUUUUCAUUAUAAUAUUUAGCUGAAUACCAAUUUGGCAUGUAUUUGUAUGAAUGACUGAUUUAUUCCAAUAACUUUUAGACCCAAUUUAUUUAUUGCAUGCACAAAGCUUUAUUUUCAUGGUACCUUCAAAUACCUGGAGGCUAAUUUCUGUGAAGCUGCAUAACAAUGCUCCUGAUUUUAGAGUAAAUGGAGAGAUGGAUCAUUUGUCAUGUCAGGAAAGUGUCGCUUAUUCUGAAAUCAAGGGAUGCUCAGAUUUGUCAAAUUCUCAGCAUGCACAGAAGAUACUCAUAAUCUUUCUCUUGCAUAUGUUAAUACGCUUUAAAGUAUUUUGGGAACUUUGCUUCCUUACUUAUUUUAUGGAACGGUUCAAAUGGCACUGGUGUUAUCUGCUCUUACAGGUUUUGAUAGAAUUCAGCAUGAAACCAUUCUGGCUUACAUAGCUGAGAAUCUUGACAAAUUUCUCUAUCUUCCAAAGAAAUCUUCUAUAGAAAUGUUCUGCUUAUAAUUCUUAAGCCAUUUACCCAUUUUAAUAAAGUUUUCAAAUAUUUGUAAACAAUUGAAAAAACACUGGCCCCAGAUUUUUCUAAAAUGUCUUCAGACUGGUUGAUUUUUUUCUACUUAAAAAAUUGACAUUUGAUCAUUUGGUGCUGUUUCCAAUUUUUUUCCCCACCUACACCUCAUCACCAUCUGUUUGUUCUUUAAUUAGAUUAUCUGAUGUUAUACUUAAAAAAUGUUAUUAACUUUUUAUUUUAUGAUUUUUCUAUGUUCUAACACAUUUAUAUUAUUUGAUUUAUUUCUUCUUCUAGUCUCCUUUCAUUCGUGCCUUUGGAUCAUUUAUUCUUUUUUUUUAAGUUUUUGAUUCAGAUGUUUUUUAAUUGAUAUUGUAAUUAUAUUUGUAGCUAUAUAAUUUCUUUUGAAUCUGGCCUUUUGCUAUAUAUCUUAGGUUCCUAUGGGUACUUUUGCAUUAUUGAUAUUUUCUCAAUGUUCUGCACAUCCAAUUUAAAUUUUCUCUUUCAUCCAAGAGUUGUGUAAAGAAGAAUGUUUCAGUUUCCCCAGGGAUAUUUAAAUUUUUUAAUGUUUUGCUAUUAAUUUUUAGGUUUACUGCCUUAUGACUAGGGAAUAUUAUUAUGAACUAUAUGCUAGUGUUCUCCCCAAAUUGAUUUUAAGGCUCUGCCAAUGUGUUGGUACUUGGAAGUAGGGCCUUUGAGAGGUAAUCAGGUUUAGAUGUGGCAUGGGAUUGGGGAACACCUGGAAGACCACAGGCUCUUAAAAGAAGCAACCAGAGAGCUAGUUUUUCCCACACCGCUCAAUCGGCCACAGGAGGACCCAACCAAAAAACUGCCGUUUUGCAAAACAGGAAGUCAGCACCCUCCAGAAAGCAAAUUGGUCUGUACCUUGACCAUGGGCUUACACACCUCCAGAACUUUGAAAAAUAAGUGACUGUUGUUUAAGCCACCAAAUCUACACUAUUGUGCUAUAGCAGCCCAGACUGACUAACAUGAAUGCCUUUCCCAUGUUUUGAAGUGCACUAAGUUUUCCAUGUGGCCUGAGGUAUGGUGUGUGUCUCUAUGUCCUCUGUUUCAGAGUACAAAAUUUAUCAUAUGAAUCACAGCAGUCUUACAAUUCCCAUAGUAUGGAUCUCUACACAGUAUUUUUCUACUUACCUGGAAUUCUCUAAGAGAAGCAAACUAAAAUUUCUCACUUUCUAUGCAUUUCUGCCUCUUUUUGACUUUUGUCUCUUUUUUCAACUUUAUGAAGUUUAUUGUUCUUCUCUUAUUAAUAGUCCAAAUAAUUUAUCUGUAUAUUCUUUCUUUUCUCUCUCUCUCCCUCUCUCUCUCACACACAACAUACAAUCCUGCUGUUGUAUUCUCUAUUACUUUUUUCCUAGAUUUUUUCCACCCAUUUUUCCCAACCUCCCUCAGACAUUUUUUGAUUGAUUGAGUUGUAUUCGUUUUUUUCCCCUGUUUUAUUUCUUUCCAAUGAAUUUGUCUUCCUUGAUUUCUUCACUUAUAUUUCUAGAGAUGUUUCUUAAUACAGACUUUAUAAAAGGACAUAUACGGGUUAUCGCAUAUUAUGAAUGCCUUUACUCUCACAUUUGACUUAUAUUUUGGCUGGGUAUAGAAUUUGACCAUGAAAAUACUUUUCCUUCUAUGCAGGAAAGUGUCACCAUCACUCUAACCCCUGUGUACUGUGCCACCUGCUAUGUUGAUAAUGAACCUUCUUUUUCCAGCUUUAUGCUCAUUCCUAUAUAAUUUUUUUUCUUUUAAAUUUGAAGAAUUUUCAGAGAUGCACUUCUAUGUAUUGUAAUUUCUUCUAAAUUUAUGUUUUGAUAUUAUCAUUUAAUCCAUAGUCUUUCAUAAACUCUUUCAAAUUGCUUUUUCAGAGUUCUGCUUUCAUAAUCUUUGAUAGUCAUAACAGAAAGUUUCCUAUGCUCCCAUGCUCUCAAAUACCUUCUAUAACCUGAUGAUACCUGAAAUUGACUCAAUAUUUAGGCUCCCCACAAAGUUCCUACAUUGGAAUAAAAACUCUCAAGGUAACUGCACUAGCAGUUAAGGCACUUGAGAAGUGAUUAGUGCCCUUGAUAACUGACCCCAGAGAGAUUCUCCACCAGUUCCACUAUGUGCAAACAUGGCAAAAGUGAUGACCAUCUCUCCACCAGGAAGCAGUCCUCACCAGGUCUGGAGUCAGCUGAUAAAGUGACCUUGAACUUUCUAGCCUCCCAAACUACGAACAAUAAGUAUUGUUUACUAGUCACUCAGUCUAUCACAUUUUGUUAUAGCAGCCUCAGGGGGCUAAGGCGAUAACUCUAGGGCUUCUUUGCUCUAAACUCAAAAUUUUGUAUUUCAAUAACUUAUUUAAAGUAAUAAUAAUAAGUACAUUAUUAAUGUUUAUGAAAAAUGUAGUAUAAUCAAGUUUUCUAGUAUUUUAUAGGAACUUCCUACUGUGUUCUCCAUGUUACAUAAAGUUCUGAGACUUCUGGAGAGAUGAAGUUGUUUUCCGUAGAGCAGAGCUGAUAAAUGUCAGAGCCAGCUCUUAGUCUGUCUUCAUAGCCAUGGGGACCUUCAGUUCUGUGCUGUGCUGGCUCCCUCCUUACUCUUAGUUAUAGGACCCAUAAGCUCCUUAUAUUUGUCAUACCUAAAAUCUUGUCCACCAUCUUUUGCCCAAGACAAUUUUUUUUUUUACUUUACUUGCCUCUUUCUACCCAAUUCAGCUAUGACAUGCUCUGGAGCUAUUUCAUCUGGGCUGGGACUCUAGUUCCACCAUCUAAAAUUUUGUGACUUUGGGAAAGUUACCUAAAUGGACAUGGACCUUAGUUUUUCUAACUCUUAAAAAGAGAAGAAUAAUGUCAUCUCAUUCAUAGAGUUAUUGCACAAAUGCCAGGCUCCAUACAGAGCAACUGGAUGCAAAAUAAAAACUCAAAAAUGCUAUUAUUCUUUAAAUUGUCCUUUUCCUCUCUUUUGUUACUGUGCACAUAUUCCAUCAAGCUGAGAAACAUAAUGUUCUAAAUAACUUUUAAAAACCAUACUUUGCUUAAUUUCUCCUCCAGUUUUCUAGUGAGUACAAGACUCUCCUGUCUCUCUAUCACAGUCUCCUUAUGACUCUUUUUACUUCUACUCAUACCUGAUAAAAUCCAUUGUCUACCCUGCACCAGGAGUCACCUAGAUAAAGUAGAAAUCUCAUCAUUUAGCACUCAUGCUUAAAUCCCCAACACACUUAAUUCCUUGAAGACAGCUUCCAAACGGCUUAGCCCAGCUAGCAAUGUCUGGAACCGUUUGGGUCCUGCCUCCUUCUCCAGUCAUCUCACCCUCCCUUUUGAUCUCCUUGCUUUUAGUCAUCAUUCUCCAUUUUCCCUGAUGCCUUUUCAUAGCAUUUCCACAUUCUCAUCCCACGCCCUGGCACAUGCUGUCAGCUGUGCGACACUUUUCACUCCCAGUUCCGCCUCUGCCCAACAGGUCAUAGGUGUAGCCAGUCCCUGCAAAAUCCCACAAUAAUAACAUAGGCAUGAAUUGAGUAUUGCCCUUGCUGCUCAUGUAACACUUUGGACCUCUCCUAACCUAGCACAGACUCCCUGCUUUACAAUUAUUCUUUGACUCGUCUGUCUCCCUCCAAUGAAUCAUACUAUCAGUGGGAAAGAGACUUUUCUAUCUGGUUACCAUUGGAUUCUGCCCUCAAACACCAUUUCAAAAGGAUAAUGAGAACUCAAAGGAUAUCCCUUGAAUAGAUAAAUUAAUAAAUGAAUGAGCCUUACAAGUAGGUAAUUGCUCUGGUUUUGAUGCAGAUGAUUAUUAGCUUGGGUUUCUUUUCCUCAAGGAACUUAGAAUCUAUUUGGGAGGUAAAUACACUCACAUAUUUUUAACUAUAUGCCACGUAGUAUCCUAGGAUCUAUCGAAAACUUAUCAUAUUUCAUAUUUAUAAAAGUUCUCUAAGAUAGGAAUUAUCAUUAUCCUUAUUUAAAGAUGGAGAAAACGAGAACAGACAAUGCAUGUAAUGUGCACAAAGUCAAACAGAGCAAGUUGCAGAGCUCAGCUCUGGACCCAGGCAGACUGAAGCUUGAACUCACAGUCUUGACUGUGCACUGAAGGAGACGAGAGGGUCACAUGUCUACCACCACCUUGGAGUUCUGAAGGUCUUGUCUGAUUAUUUCAAAGCCAUCCAUUUCACGCAUUCUUUAAGCGUCUCUUAACCCCAUUCUCCUGUGGAAACUCAAAGAUAAGUAACAACUUUUGGGUGCCUAACCCCCAUCUGUACUGCACAUUUGAUGAUCCUGUACCACUUUGAACAAACUCUGCCCAAGUCCUUUAUGUAAAUGGCUGCAGGUCAUUGUUCCUGACUUAGAUUUACUUGUCUUUGCCCUCAUUUGUUUUUAAGAAAGUGUUGACAGGAUAAGUCUUGCAGUAACUGUUCAACCCUCUCACUUCUAACUAUGUAGAUAUUUGAUUUAGGUCGAGAUAGCCCCAGUAACCGCUACAGCACUUUAAACACAAGAAACCAUAGAUAAGGAUUAUGUAUUGAGUUGAAAUAUGAAAAGCUCAUAAAAGAAAAAAAAAACAGGCAUGCUGUCUUAAAAGAUCAGUACUGAUGCUUUUCAUUAAUAGUGUCCUCUGGACUAGAAUUUACCUACAUAACAUGAUGUGGUAUUAUCAAAAAUGUUGUGCAAAUGAUGAAAGAAUCCUCAGAUGUGGGAAGAGAUUAAUUCAAAUAUUUGAUGAAAAUUAAGAGACCAAGACUAUACUGAGGGUCCCUGGCCGUUUUUAUCAUCCAUUAUUUGCUGUUAUAAUCUUUGUACUUCCAUUUCCUCUGGAUUCUCUGAUUUUACUCAUAUACUAUUCGGCAGUUUAUUUUCCUACAUCUCAUUUUGACAUCCAGUUGAUUUGUAAAUUCAAGAGCAAGCAAAAGAGUUUGCAUCUUUACCAACUUCAAGGCUCUUUUGAAUUCUGGUUUUAUGUAGCUAAUUGCUGCUUUGUGUCAAAUGGUUUUGUUCACAUCUAGUGGUAUUAAGUUUUUUGAAAUUUAUAUUUAACAAGGUAGACUUCACUAGUUAAGUGGAUGCCAAUUAACCUAAAAUCUGAACUGACUUUUAAAUGCAAGUCAUUCCUAUCAAAUUAGCGUUCUCUACAGAUUUACUAGAUAGCUGUCAACACAAUGGAGCCUAGGCAUCAAUUUUAAGCAAUUUAUUUUUUUAAGUUUAUAAUAUUAGUUUGAUUGUGAUUAUAUAGUCCAAAUUUGUAUAAUUUUCUGUCAAUUACCAAGACCUAGAGGAAUUUUGUAUAUUAUUACAUUUUAAUCAUCUUUAUAAUUAACAUUUAAUUUAUAUUCUUUUUUUUAAUUUUCCAUCUAUGGAAUGUACUUUGAGUUUGUCACAGAGAAUUCAAGCAAUUUUUUCUGCCAAUUAAAUGACAUUUUAUUUUUCUAAGUGAAUUGACUGCUGGGGAAAUGGGCCUUGAAGAUGAAAGGCCUGUUUAUUAAUAAAAAGAACCUCCUGCCCCACCUAGACAUAUGCAGCCAUCUUACUAUUUCUUCUGCAUGACUCAGGGUCUUUCUGAAACAAGGCCAAGAUUUCAAAGUCCAGUUUUUAAAAAGUUGUUGAGAAUUCUAAUAACAAGUAUGUUGAUCCUGGUACCUCUACUGCAAAUCCUACCUGCUUGGAAUUGGUCCACCAAAUCAGUAUGUGAUAUUAUGUAUAAAACAAUGGAAAACACUAUAUAUUUCUUUACUCUUGUGUGAAAAUAAAAGCUAAAAUGUUACAGUGAAUACUCGAUGUUAAUAAUAAUAAAAUAUAUUAAAUAUUCUUUAACCCUUUAACCCUUACAGUAUAACCCGCUUAUACUCAUUUUUAUUUUCCGUUAAUUUGCAGUGAUAUGGUUGAAUUCUGAUUCUAUAGUAACUUCAUUACAUUUAAUUAUAUUAUCUUACAUUCAAUCUUUUUUGCCUUCCAUUAGCAAGGAGAAAAAUAUAUGACCAGAGGUUAAUAGUAGAAGGUUAGUUAUACAUGAAAUGAGGAACAGAUUAAAGACCAGUAAAAUGCUAAUGUUACAUAUUUGAAUUCUUUGCAUGAUAUGCACUCAGCAAUUCUUGAUAUCAUGUUCCAAUGAGAAACUUAUGUGCUCACAUAGUGACAAAGCAUUUGAGAAUGCUGAAGGGGCUCAGUGAGAAAAUUUCCAACUAUAGCCAUUACUGCAUUCAAGUACACAUUGAAUGACACAUGCAGCAUUACAGACCGCUUUCUCCAUGGAAUAAGUUGGCAUAUCAAUUUACUUAUUUAUUUACUUUGUAUCAGAUGGAACCCAUUUGAGAUAAGUCUCAUGUGUUCUGUUUUUCAGCAGUUCUGCAGAGGGGUUAUGUAAACAUAUUAAAUAGUACUCAAGUAGUGAAGGACACAGAAAGGAUGUUAGAUCGGGUUUAUGAGGCAACAAAGGUUAUGACGUUGCCAUUAUUUCCAGGAGGAGGACCCUCUGGGGAUAUAAGCAUCAUGAUAAAAACAUCCAUAACUGCUCACAAAGGACAUGCUUAUUUGUCCUUUAUAAUUUAUCCUUUUACCAUGUGAAUCCAGGCAACUAGGUCAAAAUUCCCUGUUCAAACACCAAAAAAAGGGAGGAGGGAUCAGGGCAAGAUAUUUUCAUUUAAUGCAUCAUAAUGUGUCUCUUCAUUUCAAGAAACAUACAUUUAUGUACAUAUGCAUGUGUAUAUGUGCAUACACAUAUGUCCAUGUAUACAUGUACUAAUGUGGUAUUAGUGCAAUUAUUGGAUGGUGAAUGUGCAAUAUGAAGCCAUUCACUCUUUUCUCCUUUAAUCUUAAAGCCCCCCAAAUUUAGUCCAAUUGCUCUAAUAAAAACAGAAGUGAAACUUUAUAAAAACUUUCAAAGAAUUAGCCACUUAAGAUCUUCCCAAUAUUGGUAAUUUUUAUUCCUUUCAUAGGAAGAUUCAUUCUUUGUAUGAACUUUCACUAGUGCCACUUGUGUGGCAUGGAACAUCUUAGGUAACAGGACUGCUGUGGUCAUUUAGACAAGUCCCUGCUUUCCUGUGGGUCAUUUUAGCUAAAUGGAUGUUUGGACAUGUUAUAGCUGACAAGGAAAAAAGCUGCCUCCACACAUUUUCCGAGCAUUGAGUAGUAAUUAAUAAAGGUCUAUUUUAAUAAAACAUGUUUGAGAAGAUGGUGGGUGAGAGAAAAGUCGUACCUCCAGUUGUUCUGUGGCUUGGUAUUCAAGCAGCAGGCGUACUGCUUCUCAGAAAGGUGUGUGAAAGAGGGAUCUCACUGAAAUUAAAUAUCAGUCAGAGACAACUGGAGACUCAUAAAUUCAGGCGUAUGGAACAAAGAAUAAGAAUGAGUACAUUGGGGACAAGACAGUGGUGGCAGUGGCCAGGACCUUGGUUCACCACAGAAGAAAGGGAUAAUACAAGCAGAGAGAGAAACACAGUGGACUAACUUGACACAAAAACCCUGUAGAACAGGGAAGUGACAUGAGUGUAGCCAAUCCAGAGGCUGCACAGCAAACUGGUGUGUCUGAAAAUUGCUCUAUUUCUCAAGUGGCAAGUGGAAAGCUGACGCGAAGAGCUAUUUUGAGGAGGCCACACUGCAGCUUGCUGUUGCAGGGAGCCAGUAGAUGAUAGAAAACAUUGCCAUGCUGCUCUGGCAAUCACCUAUCCAUGGCCUGGGCUGUGUCUAGCAGAAUGUGAUAAAACAGGCCCAGAGAAGACUCCACCCAGGGGCAUUCAAGUCAGAGUUAUGGAGGGAAGCACAGUUAUUAGCACUGUGGAUGACAUGCUGACACCGAAUGUUUACUUUAAUGCCAAAUCUAGUCGGUAGAUAUUUAUUGUUUUUGCUUCUGGCAAUUCCUGACCCAACCAUUCUAUUUUGCAGUAAAUAGUAUUGCAGAUGUCAUAGUGAGCACAGAGUAUUUAUUUUAAUAUUGUAUAUUAUUUGCUGCAGUUGUUGAUAUUUUUUUAAUCCCUUUUCUUUGAGGUUCUGGGAACUUAUUGGGACUUUACAAGUUCACAGGGUAGAGACUCAGUUGCAGAGCUAAACUUAGCCAAGAGAGAAUGCACCUUGCUGCAUACACAAAUUAACCAUGCUCCAAAUUCAGUGAUACUAUAAAACAAAGAAUAUAAAAGACAAAAACCUAAAAACAACAACCAUGCCCCAAGUAGUAGUAGCUGGGGUAGCCUUAGAUUCCACUAAUGGAAUCCACUCCUCCAGUGAAACCAGAAUUAACAUAAAAGCUAUGGACAACAACCUUGGAAGGAUUCUCAAUCCACUCUAAAACACUUUGCAAAGAGAAGAAUUUGUCUCUAAAGGUGUGCAUUUAAGAGUAGAAGAAAAAUCCAUUCCAAUAGAUGCAUAAAACCCAAUACAAGAAUACAAAAAAUAUGCGAAAAUGAAGUAUCAUGAUAAAGUUCAUAAUUUAUGAGCAACUGAAUCCAAAGAUAUUGAGAUUGAUGAAACACCAGAAGAACAACUCAAAAGAAUGAAUAUAAAAAAUGAUUAUAGAAUUCCAAAAGGAUGCAGAAACACAACUGAAUAAACCAAGGAAGUUGGUAUACAGUAUGAAUGAAAAAUUCAAUAAAGAUAUGGAGAUAUUGAAAAACAACCAAAGAAAUCUUUGAAAUGAAAAACAAUAAAUCAAAUUAAAAGUUCACUUGAAAGUCAUUCUAAUACGAUAGACCAUGCUGAGGACAGAAUUUCAGAGCUGGAAGACAAAGUGGCUGGCCUUGAACAUUCAGAUAUCAUUUAAGAAAAGAAAUUAAGGAGCCAUAACUAAAAUAUACAAGAAGUCCGUGCAUUAAGAGAUUGAAUUUAAGAAUCAUUGGAAUCUAAGAGGGUUGUAAGAUACAGGAUAAUAUCGUGAAUAACCUUUUCAAGAACAUAAUAACAGAAAAUUUUGCAAAUCUUGAGAAUGAGAUUGACUUUGAGAUAAAGGAGUCAUUCAGAAUCCCAAACAGACAUGAUUUUAAAAGAACAUUUGUAUGACAUUAUAUAAUUAAAAUACCUAACACAGAUAACAAGAAUAGAAUUUUUAAAAGCCUCAAGAGAAAAAUAUCAGGUCACUUAAUAGGAAAGCCAAUCAGAACUACUUGUGAUUUUUCUUAGCACCAACCCUAAAACCAAGAAAAUAACUGUCACUCAAGAUUUCUACAUCCAGCAAAACUGUCCUUCAGAAUUAAAAAGGAAAUAGAAAUCUUUAAAGUUAAGCAGAAACUAAAAAAACUGAUAUUACUAAGCUGACACUAAAGAACCACUUAAAGAAACAACAGAGAGAAAAUAAAUAAAAAAACAAACCACAAAAUUAACAAAUGGACAAAUCUCAUUUGAAGAGUAGCUAACAAAUGGAAAACAGUGCUAAAUUAAACAAAAGAAAAUAAAAUGGCAGGAAUGAACAAACAUCUCUCUAUAAUGUCACUGAAUGUAAAUAGUCUCAACUUUCUAAUUAAAAGUCAUAGGCUGGCAGAAUGGAGUAAACAAUAAGACUCAAUUAUAUGCAGUUUGCAAGAGACUCACCUUACAGGCAAAGACAGCCACAGGUUGAAAGUGAAAAGAUACCAUGCAAAUGGAGCCCCCAAACAGGCAGGAGUAACUACUCUCAUAUCUCAUAAAGAAGACCUCAAGAAAAAAUUAAUCAGAAGAGACAAAUGAUCAUUUAGUACUUACUGGUAAAAGAAGUGAUCCAAAAAGAAAAUAAAAUGAUAGUAAAUAUUUAUGCCCCAACCAUUGCUACAUCUAAUUAUAUAAAACAGACACUACUCAAAUUAAAAAGUCAGUAAACCCUAGAACAAUAACAAUGGGAGAUACACACACACGUAUGUAUGUGUGUGUGUGUGUGUAUAUAUAUAUAAAAUCUCCACUCUAAUGUCAUAAUGGAAUGAAACUAGAAAUAAACAUGAAAAAACUACAGAAACUAUAUAAAUACAUGGAGAGUGAACAAUAUACUUUUGAAUGAUGAAUGGGUGAUAGAAGAAAUCAGGAGAGAAAUUUAAAAAUUCAUAGAAACAAACAAGAAUAUUAAUACAUCAUACCAGAACAUCUAGAACACUCUAAAGGUGGUUCUAAGAGGAAAAUUUACAGUUACGAGUGACCACAUAAGAAAACUAAAAAGAUCCCAAGAAAACAACCUAGUAAUGCAUCUCAAAACCAUUGAAAAACAACAACAACAACAAAAAAUACUAACCGUUUUUAAAAAUGCAGUAGAAGGAAAAAAAUAAUUAAGUUUAGAAGUAAAAUCAAUGGAACAGAUAAUUUUUAAAAAAAUAAUCAAUGAAACAAAAACUUGUUUCAACCAAUACAGAGGAUCAAUAGGGUAUUUUAAAACCUAUACUCCAAUAAAUAGGGAAACUGAAAAGAAAUGCAUAUAUUUAUAGGCACGUAUAAUCAACCCAAAAUUGAAUCAAGUGGAUGUAGAUAACCUGAACACACCAAUAACUAGCCAUGAUAUAGAAACUGUAAUGAAAUAAUCUUCCAACAAAGAAAAUUCCCAAACCACAUGAAUUUUCAGAUUAAUUCUACCAGAAAUUUAAUGAAGAUCUAAUUUCAAUGGUCUUCAAUUUUUUCAUAGAAUAGAAAUGGGAGGAAAACUUCCAAAUUUGGUCUCUGAAGCCAGUGUCACAAUCAUAUUAAUACCAAAUAAAGAUACCUCAAGAAAAGGAAACUACAUAUCAGUUUCCCUGAUGAACUUAGAUGCAAAACUCCUUAAGAAAAUAUUAGAAAAUCAGAUUCAACAACAUAUUAAGAAGAUUGUACAUCAUGACAAAAAUAGAUUUAUCCCAAGGUUGCAAGGAUGAUUUAACAUAUGCAAAUCAAUAAAUUAACUCACCACAUAAAUAUAAUUAAGGACAAAAAUCUCCUAAUGAUCUCAAUAGAUGGAGAGAAAAAUCUUAGACAAAUUCAGCAGCCAUUUAUGAUAAAAACAAUGAAGAAACUAGUAUAGGAGGAAAUUACCUAAACACCAUAAAGACUAAAUACAACAUACUCAAAGCCAACAUCAUAGAGAUUAGGGGAAAACUGACAUUUUCUUUAAAAUCAGGAACCAGACAAGGAUGUUCUCUCUCACAACUAUUAUUCAGUUUAGUUCUUGAAAGCAUAUCCAUCCAGAGUAAUCAGGGAAGAGAAGGAAAUAAAAGUAAUACAAAUAGGAAAAGAAGAAGUCAAAUUAUCUCUCUUUGCUAAUUACAUGAUCCUAUAUUUAUAAAAUCCAAAAAAACUCUAUCAGAAAAAUUUUAUAGCUGAUAAACAAAUUCAACAAAGUAGCAGGUUACAAAGUCAACAUUCAAAAAGUAAUAUUUUCCUAUAUACCAAUAAAUAAUCUGCAGAGAAAGAAAUCAUGCCAGAAAUCAAUCACAUUCAUAAGGGCCUCAAAAAAGAAAAAAACCUAGGGAUUAAAUAUGACCAAGGAGUUGAAUAAAAACUAUAGAACACUGAAUAAAGAAAUUUAGGAAGGUAGCAGAUUGAAAGACCUCCAAUGUUCAUAGAUAGACUGAGUUACUAUUGUUAAAAUAGCUUAAGAAUAUACAGAUUCCAUGUCAUUUCCAUUAAAAUAUCUAUGAAAUUCUUUACAGAAUUAGAAAAACAACAAUCCUAAAUUCAUUUGGAAAAAUAAAAGAUCCAGAAUAGCCAAAGAAAUUCUAUGCUAAAAGAGCAAUGUUGGAGGCAUCACAAUUCUUAACUUGAAAUUAUACUACAGAGCUAUAGUAGCAAAAAUUACAUGUUUCUGGCAUAAAAGGACAUAUUCACUGAUAGUACAGAAUAGAAGACACAGAUACAGACCCAAAGAGAUACACCCAUCUGAUCCUAGACAAAGAUGUUUUUUAAACAAACAGUACUAGGGAAACUGGCAAUCCAUCUGUAGAAAAUAAUACAAGAUCCUUAAAUCUCACCCUGCACAAAAGUCAACUCAAAAUAGAUCACAGACUGAGAAAUUAGAUUAAAAAUUAUGCAACUCCUUAAAGAAAACAUAGGGUGAAGACGGUAACAUAUAGCCUCAGGAAUGACUCUGUAAAUAGGAUUUCUAAAGCUCAGGAAAUAAUGCCAAGAAUUUUAAAAAUAGUGUUGCAUCAAGUUAAAAAGCUUCUGUACAGCAAAAGAAAUGAUUAGAAAUGUGAAGAGUGGACCAAGAGAAUGGGAGAAAAUCUUUGCUAACUAUCCUUCCACAGAGGAUUAAUAUCCAGAAUAUGUACAGAACUCAAAAAUCUUAACAUCAAGAAAAUAGCAAUUCAUCAAUGGGCAGAUGAAUGGAACUGACAUUUUUCUAAAGAAGAAAUACAAAGGGCCAACAAAUAAAUGAGGAUUUAAUCCUAUUGAAAUGUUCAAUAUCUUUAGCAAUUAAGGAAGUGAAAAUCUAAAUUAUAUUGAGAUUUCAACUCACCCAGUUAAAAUGGCAGUCAUCAAGAUUUCAAACAAAAAUGCUGAAGAGGAUGAGGAGAAAAUGGAACUAUUAGAACGACCACUGUGGAAACCAUUAUAGAGGUUCCAUAAGAGACAAAGCAUGGAACCACCAGAUGACGCAGGAGUACCACUCCUUAGUAUUUAUCCUGAAGCAUUAAAGUCAGCACACUACAGCAACACCCAUGUUUAUAGAAGCACAAUUCACAAUAGCCAAACCAUGGACACAUAAACGGGUAAAGAAAAUGUAUUAUUUAUACACAAUAGAACUUUAUUUGGUCAUAAAGAAUAAUAAAAGGAUGUCAUUUGCCCGAAAAUGGAUAGAUCCUGAGAACAUUAUGUUAAGCAAAAUAAGCCAAACUCAGGAGGACUGAGUAUGUUUCUUCCCAGAUGUGGAAGCUAGAGGAAAAAGAAAGAGAAUGUUGAGGGCAGGGUAUAUCAUGAAAAUCAGAGUAGAGUAGAAGAAAGGGACCAAGAGGAGGGGGAAGGGAGUGAGCGGUGAAAUCCUGGGGAGUGGUAAUGGCCAAGUUACAUUGUUACGCUGUGUGCAUGUAUGAUUAUGUAACAACAAAUAAUACUAUCAUAUACAAUUAUAAUGUAACUAUAAAAAUACGGAAAAAAAUAAGAACAUAAAAAAGCAAGUUCUUUGACGUAGUUUAACAGAUUUCCUAAGAUUGGCAGAUUCAAAUCAAGUUACAUUUAUUUAUUGUAUACCACACUAUAACUCAUAUUAUUAAAAUGAGGUUAUAUUUCUAUGAUUUGUACUGAUAAUAUGCAUAAAUCAAUAAUCCUAGAUAGCUAAUGUAAAUAAAUAUAUCUGCAGUGCACAGAUAUUUGGCUUUAAACCUGGCUAAAUGUUUCAGAACAAGAAACAUGAUUUUCAUCUAAACUGAUGACAAAUCUGAGCUUUUAUGAUAAGCCUUGUUUUCCUAAAGAGUUCUAGGUCGAUACUUCCCACAACAACAAUUGUGACCAUCUGAAACUCUGCUCCCAAAUUUAAAAUGAGGUCAAGUAUUUAUUCACAUGAAUUAUUUGAUCACUUGGAGUAAAUGACUUCACUCUAAAAACAACGGGAACACAGAAUAAGGGAAACUCUUUCUCUUUAAAUACAGGAGCAGCACCUGUGGAAAGAUCCACAUCAGAUAACACUAACUGAAUCAUGAGAGGACAUUCCAACUUGUAUGGAACAGAAACAUAACUCAUCUACUCCAACCCGUGGUACGGCAUUAAAAAAAAUGGAUAUUUUGGAUAAAGAAAAAGUUUAAGAUGACAGUUUCUCCAAACAGGCUCAAAGCUGCAUGAAGUCAGCAGAGAGAUAUGUCCCAAAGAUGUCCCCACAUAGUGCUUACAGCUGAAAAUGGAUAGUGAGGAAAGCAGGUUACACAAAAUUAGUGUCAAGGUGCUGUGAGCCCUGCUAAUGUGCCCAUAGGAGCAUUUGAAGAGAAGAAAUUAAGGGUUUUGACAUCUUAAAGAAUAUACAAGGGUACAAUUUUAGAUGACAACAACAGCCACAUCAUAGUGAGAACCAGUUUACUCCUUGGAUAUUGUCAGCACACUCACACACUAUGGAAAUCCCAGGAAAUGGUGAAGGCAAAAGUGAGACAAUGUUCUUGAUAAUUCUAUAGAACAUGACUUGAUAGAUUUCAAGAAAUGCUGAGUUUCAUUUUCCAAAUGGCUUGUUUUGAGCUCUAUCUGGUUUUGCUUUUAACUAGAUAUGUGGUAGCAAAAUUACAUGUUUCCAAGAUUCUCGUGUUUUUUGACGUGUAGAACUUGGUCAAGACUUAGUGGUGUUUCAAUUUCAGGAAGAACUUGUGAUGGUCAAGUUAGAAAAAUUGAGUAGAAAAUUCUUUAUAAUCUGUACAAUGUUACUGCAACAGGUUCAAUUUUCUACUAUUAGGUCUCAAAAUCACAUACAAGAAGAUAGGUUAGUUCAACAUUUUGACAAACAGUUAUUGACAUCUACCACAUGCCUUCACUGUGCUGAGCAUUAGAGAGAUAACAGAGAAUAACUGUGCACUUUAUCUUAAUGGAUUUGGAGCCUAAUUUUAAUGUGGUUUGAAAAGUGUCUUGGAUGUUUCCCCCAAAAUAUUGAGAGAUGCUUAGAUCAGGACAUAGACCUCAGAGUUCCCAAGAAAGAUGACCCAGAACCAUUUGCUACCAUUGGGCCAGAAAACAUUGAGGGGUACUCCCAGCUAGGGAGGAUGGCAAAGGGUGUCUUGAGAUCAAUGGGUCAUAACCACACAUUUUUUUGUUGCUGUGAUCAAAGCAAAAAGGAGGGUCAAAAGAUGGGGAUCCAGGUACCCCGGGUCCACGCUGCAACACACUGGAGAAGAGCAGUUCUGCUGUUCCCACUUAUUCACUGGGUUUCCAUGUAAGAAUCUAUUUAUAGGAAGGAAUCCAUGGGAUAUUUUGAACAGAAACUUCACCAAGAAGUUGAGAGUCACGUUGCUUUAUGAAGAUGUGAAAGAUGUUCAAACCCAUUUUUCAUUAAAACCAUAGUAAGAUGUCAUUACAAAUUUAAGCAUGUAAGUUAGACAAAGGAAGCGGUAUUUGGAAGUAGUGGAGAGACUGCAACGAGCAGACACACAUCUAGAAAGGUCAGUUGUCUUUGGUUGCCAGAAGUCUGGUGUUUCCCAGUACACAGGACAUCAGAGCUAAUGCUAGGACAUCCCGAGCAAACUGGGACACUUCAUCACCUGGCACAUACUCUGUGACCUAAUAAUUCCACUCUUCAAAAUGUGUAUGUAUUUACGCACAAAAGUGUAAGAAUGCUUGUAAAUCAUGAUUCAUAACUGCCUCAAGCUAAAACAGUCAUGGAUAGGAUGGAUUGAUAAGUACUGAUAGCUUCAUAUAAUGGAUUGCUAUGCAGCAAAAGGAAAAAAUGGGAAAUGACUAGGUAGAAAUACAUGGUAAAUGUCAUGAAUGUAAUAGUAAGUAAACAAAUGGAAAAAGAUACAGCAGUUCAUAAAUAGCUAAAGUGUGGUAUUAGAAACCAUAGCAGUGACUAACACUAGUGGGUAUGAUCUUGGGGGCUCCUGAAAUGUGAGUGAUGAUUUAUUUUUGAUGUGGAUGAUAUAAUUACCUUGAAAUUCACCAACCAUACACUAACAACUUGUGCAUUUCAGAAUAUAGGAUGCUUCACUUAAAAGGCCACUUACAACUCUAAUACACCAGCCUGCCCCAUGUCUAUCUACAGUUUUACUUUCCAUGAUCAACCACCACCCAAAACUGUCAAAUGGAAGGUGGAAAUACAUAACUCAUGAGUCAUAAAUAGCCUGAUGAAAUAUCAUACUGACCCACUGUGUCCCCCCCAGGAUGUGAAUCACCCUUUCAUCCAGUGUAUCCAUGCUGUGGGUGCUACCUGCCCUCUCCCAUUGAGUAGCCAUUGCAUUUCCAGGUCAGCUGUCACCGAUGGUGGCACUUAUGUUUAAGUAACUACCUAAUGUUCCGGGCAGUAUCGUAACUCCUGUCAUCCCUAGUAACACAUGUCACCAUCUUCAUUGUCACAAGAACAAGGGUGAGUAUAGUACCUUAACAUAUUUUGAGACCCGCACAAAUUUGCCUGGCUUGUAUGAUAGCAUAUGGUCAUAAUCAUUCUAUUUCAUUAUUAAUUAUUGCUAUUAACUUCUCAUUGUGUCUAAUUUAUACACUAAAUUUCAUCAUAGUAUAUAUGUAAUAGGAAAAGAAAACAUAGGGUUUGGUACUACCUGUGAUUUCAUGGCAGGUCUCAGAAGGUAUCUCCACAUAUUGCACAUUAGUACAACCCCUCCAGAAAGCUGUGAGGAAACUUUGCAAAGGCUAGGAAUGGAAUCCCCAUAUGACCCAACUAUUCCACUCCUUAGUAUUUAUCCAAAAGAACUAAAAUUAGCAUACGAGAGUGAUGUAGGAGCAUCAGUGUUUAUAGCAGCACAAUUCACAAUUGCCCGGUUAUCAGAUCAGCCCAGGUCCCUAUCAACAGAUGAAUAGAUGGAGAAAAUGUGGCAUGUGUAUACAAUGGGAGUUUUAUUCAACCAUAAAGACAAACGACAUUACGGCAUUUGCUGGUAAAUGGAUGGAACUGGAGAACAUCAAGCUAAGUGAAAUAAGCCAGACUUAAAAAUCCAAGAGACCAAUGUUUUCUUCUCUGUGUUGAAGCUAGAGAACAACAAGGGCAAAUAGAAGGUGAAUCCCAUGGAAAAAGGAGGGAGAUCAGUGGAUAGAGAAAGGGGAGAGCAGGGGAUGGGGGAGUCCAGGAAAAGGGGGAAACUAUGGGGUGAAAUGGACCAAGUGAGCUAUGUGCAUAUCUGAGUGUACCACAGUACAUUCCACCUUUGUGCACAUCUAUAGAGCACCAACUGCAAAAUAAUAAACAACUGGAAGGAACCCCUAUAGAAUAGAGGGAGGGGUGAGGGGAGGGGUGAGGGGAGGGAAAGAGGAAGUACUAGGGACUGAAAUGGAGUCUAUUAUAUUUCACUCAUGUAUGAUUAUGUCAAAACAAAUCCCCAGCACUGUGUACAACUAUAAUGCACUAAUAAGAACACUGAAAUAGGAAAGUGUCCUGACAGAGGAGAUACCACUAAUGUUAUAAACCUAAAAUUAAUAUUUGCUCACCAGGCUUAAUAUUUGCUUACAGAGUGGUUCUGGAGACAGACUUCCUGGCUUCUUUACUCAGCUCUCUCGGUUUCUAGCUGUGAUGUUCGGCAAGUUAGCAAAGCUCUCUGUGCCUCAGAUUUCUCAUCUGUGAAAUGGAGAAAAAAUAUCUUUCGGUUUGCACCUCAAAUAUAGGUCUUAGCUAUCAAUAUCAUUUGUUGUAGUUGUUGACUGCUAUAUUCUGGCUGUUUAUUGAAUCCUGCCACUUGAGGUGGGUAUGAACACCACCAUCCUCAUCACAGUGAGCUUCAGGGUAAAGCAGGAUCUUUCUCUGCAUUUCAGUCUAUGUCUUCUGAUUUCUGUCUGGAGUGCAUCCUGCCAUUCUUUCUCCCGUGGUUUUCCUGGAUGAGAUAUCAACCCUGGGUUCUCACCCUAUCUUCACGUGCAGCUGAUGACAUAAUACAGUACACAUGAAGGUGUUUCAGAGCUUAUUAGGAGAUUUUGAGCAAAUUGCCGUAAGAAACUUCUACAAGUGGUUAUGUUGGUAGAAAGUAUAAUUACAGCCAUCACCAAAGCCACUUCAAUUCAUGAGGUCAUCAUGGUCCAUCACAUUUUAUUUUUUAGUAAUUUUAUGUGAGAAUUAAUUUAUUAGGUUGUUGGAGAGAAAGUGGUAUUGAGUUAAUUUCUGUUGAGCCAUCUAAUGAUAAAAUCAGAUGGUUUUUGAGAUUUAGAGAUUUUUUUUUAUUCCCAGAGCUUGCACAACCUUUAAUUGGCACUUAACCUAAUAUAGAAUGUAUCAAAAAUUAAGUAGGCAUUAAUUAGGAACACAAAAUGUGAACUAGCCUUAAAAAGUUAAUUAUCAAAUUGGUCUAGCUAUCUGUCAGCAGACUCCCAGAAGCAUCCCGUUAAAGUGGUUUCAUUUUUUUAAAUGUAAUAUGUUUCUUAGGAUGUGAUUACACAUACAAUAUAUGGUUGUAAUUUUGAGUUAAUUGCAUAGUAGCUAGAUUAACUUUUACAUCAUUACACUUUAAUCAGUGUUUUUCAUGAUUAACGUUCAUUUACAUUUAAAGCUUCCAAGUUCUUUCUUCCAUUGUCUCCGCUCCUCCUUCCCGUGCCCCUUGCUGACUUCACAGAUCACUACAUUAAAGCUCUCCGAGGACAAACUUUGGCAUUUUCUCACUUUAGGUACCAUGAAAAUGCUCAUAGGAAACUGUGAUCAUGAUAGCAUCUCUGCCACAAUGUAAUACUAAUGACUGUAAUUAUCUUAAUAUAUAGAAAAGAAAGGAUAGAUAUUAGCUGGGGAAAUCACACAGCAAAUAAAGAGAGGAGUUAAUCCUCUAUAUCAUUUUCACUUUAGUUUAAAUCCAACUCUGGCUUUCAGAGGCAAAGAAAGAUAAUUUUUUUUUCUUUCUUGCAUGUGCCUUGAACACAGCAUGGAUUACAUAAAGAUCUCUGAAAAAACAUCACAGUUUCUUAAUAGCAUAUCACAGCUAACUAAUUUGACACUGGGUUGAGAAUGAGAUCUCUCCACCAGUAAUAUUUCUGCAGCAUAUCAUCACUGAUCUCAAGCAAGCAUUAUGAAAUAUAGGGGUCAUUUUUCUUUCAAAAACUGUUAUGUUUCAUUAACACAAAAAUAUAUAAACUAGUCUUAUAAAACAUGUGUAGUGUAAACAGGUAAAAGGAAGGCUCACCUGUAUCCCGUCACCUUCAAUAUGGAGACGCUCCUCCCACCUUCCACUCUCAGACUCCGGAACAUGGUUGCUGUGUUCACCCUGCACGGCUCCGCUUUAUGGGGAGGCUUACUUUUCUUUUACCCCAGACACUGGAAUUGUUACAUUAUGCAACUGUUUGAUUACAUCUGUUUAUAUCUUCCAGCUCACUCACCAUUUUCUUUGGACUUCAUUCCUUCUUCCAUCUCAGACCACCCACAUGAAUUCAUUUCCUUCUGUCUUGAGAAAUUUCUUCAGUUAGGAUCUUUUAGUGGCAGACACUCUUGGGAUUUGUUUACCUAAACAAAUUUCUUUAUUUCCAAAAUGGUAUUCUUCUUAAAAUUCAUUUUCCCUAGGCAUAGAGUUCAUGGUUAACUAUUGUUUCCUCUUAACACACUAAACUCCCUCUCCAUUGUUUCUGAUAGCCACCGGUACUGAUGAAAAUUCAGUUGUUGGUCUACUUCUUAUUUGAAAAUAAUCUGACUUUUUUGUUGUUGGUUUCUAAGAAUUUCUCUUUGCUUUGGUCUUCUAAAAUCAAGUGGCUUUUAAAGACCUCCCAGUUUUCUGGCUGGUAGGUCUAAUAACCUGUUCCUGAAACUUGUUCUCCAGGAGUUUGAGGUGAUGGAAGUGUUAUAUGGUACCUUGAGUGGGCUAAGGGAUGCCCAUCCAGCUGAUGAACCUUCAUUUCUGAAUGUGUCUGCAAGGGUGUUUUGGAAGACCAAAACAUUUAAACUGACGGACUGAGUGACCAUCCCCAUGCCCAAAUGUGGAUGGGUACUAUCUAAUCAUUUUCAGGGCCCAGAUUUAAAAGCAAACAAACAAAUAUAGAGGACAGUAUAAUUCUCUGUCUCUUUACCUGAGCAGACACAGGAUUCUAAUAGCACCGACCCCGACACCCACCUGUCUCUACCCCACCCUUUCCUUUCUCAGGCUUUCCGACUUAACGGGGAUAAUACCAUAGUCUUCUGUUUCUUGGGCCCUGGGUCCCACUAAAUCAUUGGCAGAUUUGGGGACUUCUCAACCUCUGUGAUCAUUUGAGCCAAUCCCCCAUAAUGGAGAUAUGUACAUAGCUUACUAGGUUUGCCCCCUGGAGAACCCUAAUAGGGAAGGCCACAAGGAACAUAUGCCCCUGAUUUCUCGAACAUUAAUUGUUGUUUGUCUUAGACUAGAAGGUCAUUUUGACUUGCUAUGAAAUCCUAGCUGUCACUUUUUUUUUCUUGAAUAUCUUAAUUUGUUACUUCUUUGACAUCUAAUAUAAAGCAGGUUGACAUUAUGAUUUGUUUUAUUUAUUCAUUUUGUCUAAAUGUGUGUGUGUGUAUGUAUGUGUAUGUGUGUGUGUCUAUUUACUUUUACAUUAAAGUCUAGUCAUUUUGUGGACUAUAUGCUGUUUAUUUGGGGUCAAUUUUCCCAGAAACAUCAGUGCCUUUAAAUACAUGCUUCAGAUUAUAUUAAUGGCAGGAACAUUUUUAUGAAUCAUUUAUUUUAAUUUUAGUUUAUUUCUAUUGCUUCGUUUUUUCUUUUUCUGGACUUUCUUAUGCAUACAUUGGUAUUUUUUUCUUUUUGCUGUUUUCUAUCUUUAUCACUUCUGUAAACAUCUUUAAAAAUGUCUUUCUUCCAAUUUUGAAUUUCUUAAAGCCUUAAGCAUUGUGUUUACUGUUUAAUAAGAAAGAAUAUAAACUCUUUUAAUUUAGUAUUUAUUUUGCAAUUUUCUUCAUUAAUACAUGAUACUCUUAUGAUUUUUUAGUCUAUCACACCUCUUCCAAGUCUCCAUUUUCAAUCACUUCAGUUAUGUGUUUUAUAUAUAUAUAUACAGUGUUUAUAGUUUUUAAUUUUCAAAAUUUUUAUUCUUAAUUUCUCUUAUCUCAUUUAAAAGUAUUAGGAAAUAAUUUUCUAGGCAUAUUAUUCCCUGUUAAGUAAUUUAGAGGCAUAAUAUUCUGUAUACUUUAUUAUCUUAUAUAAACUUUUUUACUGAAUUUGAUUAUAAUCUUUCCUGAGUGCCUUUUUUUUCCUCUUUGUUUUUAAAAUAAAUGAUUUGUUUGUCCUUUUAGGAGGGAAUAGUGAACCAAGAGGAAUUUUAACUUUACUACAUAUAAUUCCCUCUUUUGUUGCUUUAAAAGUGAAUGAAAUACGUCUGAACACUUCUGAUCACUGUCCAGCUUCUUCUCUUUCACCAUAGUAACCUGGGGCGCAUUCUGGUGCACAAUUGUUUUGGUAAACUAUGUUUUAUGGAGAGGCACUCUCAGCAGGUGGCCAUGGAGACACACCCUUAGCUGGUGACUGUGGAGAGGUACCCUCAGAAGAUGGCUAUGGAGAAGUAUUCUCAAGGUAACUACCUUCUAGGUGGCUAUUGAAAGGCACUAUCAGCAGGUGGCUACAGAGAGGUAUCCCUCAUCAGGUGGCCACGGGGAUGCACCCUCAGGGUGGCUAUGGAGAGGCACCCUCAAGGUGACUAAAGACAGGCUCCCUCAGCAGGUAGCUACGGGGAGGCACCCUAGCUGAUGGCUAUGACCCUCAGCCCGUCACCAUGGAAUGCACCCUCAAGGUGACAUGGAGUGGCACUCUCAGCAGAUGGUUUCCCUGUCGCCUUUGGCUACCUUUAUGCUGCAUGUGCAGAGGUGAGACGUUGUGAGGACACUGUGUGACGGGAACAGCCUGAAAUUGUUCUUCUGUGGUCUUCACAGGAAAGACGGCACCUCAGCCUUGUUCAUCUCCUUGUCCCUGUUGUCCUUGCCCUUCUCAAAUUCGGUCAAAUUGCUACGAGUGAGUUCCCCAUGGUCUGCACCAGAAGCAUGUUAGAGCCUUGCUGGGCGCAGCCUGCUCCAGCCCUGGCCCUGUCCUGCAGUCCCUUUAACUCCACCCCUCAGGUGGAUCCUGCGAAUUCCCUGCUACUGAGCUUCUGUUCCCCAGUGGAUGUACUUCUUCCUUCCUCCAGUGCUGCACCUUCAACAUCGCUCCACCUAUAAUUCCUCACCCUGCAAAUAGCAUUUCAGCUCCCAUUUCUCAUUCUUCUCCAGAUCUUCAAUUGUUUUUACAAGGUAAAUGAGUAUGUUUCCAUUCAUAUGUUGAUUUUAAAAUAGCAAUCUAAAUAAAACACAGGUGCAUAAUGGUAUACAUAUAUAGAUGUUUGCUGUGGGUUAAGCUACCAAAAAUUAGAAAAGAAGUAAGUACACAUCAUCAAGAGGAGAAUUUUAAGUAAAAUAUUGAAGCAUCGAAUAUCAUGAAAUGGUAGGUAACAAAGAGAGGAAACCGGAGCAAACUGAAAAACUUACUGUAAAAUGAAGAAACAUGGCGCGACAACACAUGUUCCAUGAUCUUCUUUACAUAUGCAAUGAUACACGUAUACAUACAUGAACACAGAAAAGGCGUGAAGUUGCAUCCUGCACUAUUGACAGGGGAUCUCUGCUGAGAAAGUUGAGUGUGGCCAGUGAGAAAGCCACCUGUCCCGUUGGUUUAACGUGGCUCUCUCUGGGUCGAAUCUUUCACAGCAAUAAUUUAUUCAUGUGUUACUUGCAUGAAACACAAUCAAUACAAAACACGAUGGAGCCUUUUAAGGAGAUGAGCUGUGAAGAGUGAGCUUGGGAUAUCGAGGGAGCUGACUCUCCAGAGGGAACUGAGAAAUGAUGAGAAAUGAUGUCAAGUUGAAAGUGUUUUGAAAAGAAUACAAAGAACAGAGGAAGAGCUGAAGACUGCUAAUGGCCCUGGUUCUAAAAUCUGUCCUAGGUUAUUCGGAAACCUACACCAGCACAGUUAUGCAUCCCACAAACAUUGUUUGUUUAUAGUUUAGCUUAAUGCCUGAAAUGUGUAAAGAAAGUGAGAAAGAGCCUAAAUCGCUAUUUUUUUAAAUUUAAAUCUGAAGGAAGCCAUGUGUAAGAGAAAAAAAGAAAUGAACCUCUUUAACAGUUUGAAAACAAAAAUCUGCAUAUUUUAAUAUUCAGAACUUCACCGAUCAAUUCCCCCAUGUUAUUACUUUGAGAAGAAAAUAUAUGUGUUUUCAAAUUGUUACUUUACUGUUACCUUCUUACUAUGAAUUUUUAAAAACAAAUUGACCAUUCAAAUUAUCCAGAACUUUGACAAGCCAAAGCUGUGAUUUUAAUUCAUGCUUCAAAAUCUUAAUCAUCUUGAAAGUGGGAAAAAAAAAGUGUGUGUAAAAAUAGAUAUUGUAAUAGAGGCUGCCUGGAAUAAAGACAUUCAGACAGUUUCAAUUAGACUGUACUCUUUCAAAAGAUGUCUCAUUUGUAUACCUGAAGCAAAUUGUAGUCUGUCUGAUGAAAGGUGUUGUAAGGAGUGCACAGAUUAUUUGAGGUGAAGCUGCUGGAGGUGAGCCAACGGGCGUCUGCCCUGUUGGGGGAAAUAAGUGCGUGGGUCUUUGUCUCCAGAAGGACUCUGGGAGUUGAGCAAAUCUUCUAAAGACACUGAGCACCUGCAACCUGCAGCAUUCGUUAAUAACUUCUGUGGAAGUCCUCCUCACUUGAAGAGUCUGUCCUGUGAACAUUGAAAUGGGGCCAUUAAACACAAGUCAGAGAGAGAUGGUCAACAGCAGAGAAAAUCAGGUACGCCAUUGCAAAUAUGCCCUGCCUGCCCUUCGCCUUCCUAAAGCAAACUGCAGAAAGGUUUGUUUUUAUUUUCUCUCAGUAAAACAAAGUCGACAAUCCUAAAUGCUCACAGGCCUCCUUUAUCUAAGUAAUAGAUUUUAAAUAUUUCUGAAUAUUUCUAGAACUUCAGUCUUUGUGUGAAGGAAUGUUAAUGAAGUUACAUUUUAUUCAAUUUCAAUUCUCUUGAGAUUUAUUUUGUCUUCAAAAAAAAAAAACCUAAUACAUACUUAUGCUAUGCAUAUCCCCAAAUAUUUCAAAUAUUUAACCUAGAAUUGUUUUCUGUCGUGUUCCUCGCGACAAAAGCACUCAGGGUCACUCCAGGGGAACUGGGCUGCACAAAAUAACCACACAAGAGACAGAGAUACCUUUUUCUUUGAGGGUCCUGUGAUGGCUCCUCUGACCUUAAGGGUCUGCAGAAAGAGAUGCUGAACCCUUUUAUUGAGGUAAAGCCAUUCACAUGAGGCAAGGGGCCAGGUUCAGCAGGUUGACUGACAUCUAGGAAGGCCACACCCAAAGGCAGAGCAAGAGAAGGGGACACACAAAGGGCGUUUCCAUGGAACAUUCUAUCCCCAAAAGGGCAAAGGGGUAACAUCACAAAGGAACAGGUGAGAGCAAUUCAACCCAUGGAGCUUCAGGAAGGCUCACCUACGUCUGAAGACACAUUUUGCUACUUCGAGAAUCGCGGCAAUCAAUAUCCAGGCCACCAGGAAAGUGACCCACAGAACCUCUUGAGAUGAUGGGAGGGAAAAUGCCAGUCAUUCAUCGAGACCGCCUCCCAUAGGUUUCAUUCUUUGAGACGAAAUUACAGUUAAUCUUCCUUCUUUCUUUACAGUUACUCCAAAUAUUUGCACACAUCACUUAUGACUUUCCUAGCCAGCAAAAAAAAAAAAAAAAAAAAAAAGGGAGUAAAUAGCAGUUAUUUUUUAUAAAAAAGAAAAAAAAACAGUACCUUUUAAAAGUAUGACUUUAGACAUUUUGACAAUUGAAAGGAAGGCUCUCUUGCCCAUUAUGAAUCUAUGGCUCCUUGUGCCCAGUGUUAGGGUAAAACGUUUCUGCAGUAAUGUGUGAAUUGCAACCAUUGAUGGUACUUUUGUACCUUAAGAAGUUCCCCAUAUUUGUGAUAUGCCUGGAUUCGUCCUAUUCUGGGAAUUUUCUUCUCUGGGAGAUAUGCCUCCACCACGACCAAAUUCUGAGGUUGAAAUCCUUACCUUCAUAUGUUUGGAAGUAAGAGCUUUGGGUGGUAAUUAGGGUUCGAGGACUCAUGAGGGUGGGACCUUUGGGUGGCAGAAGGCCCUGAUGAGAGGAGGAGGAGACAGGAGAGCCCUCCAUUCCCAUGCGAGAUACAAGGAGAAGAUGUGUCUACACUAGGAGGAGGGUACUUGGCAAGCACUCAGUCAGCAGAAACCUUGAGCUUGGACUUCUCAGCUACCAGAAGGGUGAGAAACAAGCACUUGUUGUCUAAGUCACCCAGCCUGUGUGACUUUUUAUAGCUGUCCUAAGAGGCACGUAGCCCCUUCCCAACCCUUUAACACAUACCAAUUUCCCUUUGCUCCCAAAGCAUCAGCCACAGAUACAAUUUGGCAUGAUUUGUGAUCGGGCUUGACUUCAAGCCAUAAGCCUUAUAGCGUGGCGUUAUGAUUCGGACAUGAGGUGAAUCACAAAGACACCUGUGAAUGCAAGAAUAUUCACAAGUGGAAAUGAUCAGAUGACAAGCACUAUGAUCUGAUCAGCCCAUCCUAGUUUCAAAAAAACCAACUGGGUGGUGGGCAUGGCUGGAGGAGGAGGGUCACUGGCUGUAUGCCCUGGAAGGGUGCGUUUCCCUGUGGCUUUCCCCCCAACCCCUCUCUCUGCUCCCCAGCUGCCGUGAGGGUAGCAGAUUCCCUCUGCUGGGCCUUCCCAGGAUAUGCUGCCUCUUCUUGGGCCCAGAAUCGGCUGUCUAUGGACUGACACUUCUGACCUUGAGCCCCAAAUCCUCUCCUCUAAGUUGUUUUGUUGGGCAUGCUGCUCACAAAGGCAGAAAUCUGACUAAAACAUCUGGUAAUCAAUAUAUUAUCAAAGAACCUCACAUAAAGUCUUUCACACCAGAUACCAAAUAUCUGGAUAAUUUUGUGGGUUAAAGAAGGAAUAUUUAAUCAUGACCCAAAAGAAAUCGGUUCUUCCUGUGAUUAUUUUUUUUCAUAGCUGGUUAUGGGAUCCUUGGCAAAGCACUGACCCCCAAUUACCCUGUGUGUGUGGGGGGGAGGCGUAGAAGAUGGCUUUAAAUUCUAAGUAAAAUUUCUCCCAGCUUCAUGAUUCCUUGUUUUUCCAUGUUAAAAAAAAUCAGUGGGAAAACUGAAGCAGGAGCAGAGGGUUAAAAUUAAAUUUGUGACUGUUGGAAAAAAAGGAUCGCAGCUUCCAUGCUUGAGAUGAAUGGUGAGAGGACCAUCCCCAACCACAUCCAGUGUCUAAGACAAACAAGGACAAGGCAUGGAGCCCAGGCAGCAGGCCUGAGCACAGUCACUGGCUGAAGUAACCGAGACAUCAUUUAAACGAUCUUACAUUCUAAAAGGCACAGCCAGGGUGGAGACCACACCCGGCUAUAGACACAGAUUUGACCAUAUGCAAAUUGGCUCAGGCACAAGGAGAGAUUUCAGUGACUUUGGGAUAGACCUAGGGCAGUACACGUCAUUUCCCACUGGGUCACAUUAUUAUUUAAUUUCUGGAUUGGUAAACAAACAAAGACUCUACACAGGGUGAUUUAUUCCUUUUGAUUCCAACCAGGUAAUAUAGAUAACUUAAUGAAAUAUUUCUCACAGAGAAUAGGCUGUGAAUUGUACCUACCUUCCUAACUACCACUGAGCUAGAAAGAUUACAUACUUUUACUACAUUUGAAUUGAAAACCUUUAUGCUGUAGUUUUUUCUGAUGUCACUUAUGUUUAUUCGUUGGUUGGUACCAGGAUUCAAUCCAGGGGAGCUAUUUUCUUUUGAGGCAGGGUCUUGCUAAGUUGCUUAGGGCCUGGCUAAGUUGCUGAUGCUGGCUUUGAACUUGUGAUCCUCCUGUUUCAGUCUGUUGAACCACUAGGGUUACAGGUGUGUGAUACCAUAUCUGGCUCGCUUAUUUUUUUUUUUAAUUUGUUCUUUUUAACUAUCUGUGACAGUAGACUGUAUUUUUUACAUAUUUAUUGUAGUUAAAGAUGGACACAAUAUCUUUAUUUAAUUAUUUUUAUGUGGUGCUGAGGAUCAAACUCAGUGCCUCACAUGUGCUAGACAAGCGCUCUUCCACUGACCACAACUCCAGCCCAUGAGAGUGCGUUUUGACAUAUUAUACAUACAUGGCUGGUUGCUCACAACCUUACUGGCCAAAGUUGGGAGAGAAAAAGAUGAUCUCAAGAAUUAGAAUUUCCUUAAAACUUGAGUAUUCUUUCUAACAGUGUCCAUAGGGUCAAGUUUUUAUUAGAAAAUGUGUUAAGAUUGCAUAUCAUGGACUUAAAUACUCAAGGUCAAAAAAAAGAAUUAUGCUUUACCUGUACAGCACCCAGGGGCCAUCUCCUCACAAUGUGAGAUUCUCAGCAUGACAGAGAAAGCUACACCAACGGAGGGUGGCUCUGUUGUAUGUACUGUUCCCUGAUCACAGUGAAAUAGUGCUCUCUUUGAGCCUUGACUUAGGAAUUAUAUUCCUGAUUUAUUUCAGUGUUUUGUGUUCAACAGAUGUAACACCUAAACCCGUGGGGUUGCUACACAUCCUAGGGUUAGAAGGAAUAUAGGACAUGAUUCCUAUAAAAAAGGCAUAUAUGUAAGUGGCUGCCUGAGAUACAAACAUGGCCAUGACAGUGGCUGCGGUAAGUGCCACAGAUUAGCCCAAGGGAUGCCACAGUCUGAUGAGGAUGGGGGCUUGACCUUGAGAUAAGGGUCCAUUGGCAUAUGUCAGUACUAGAACAGGGUUCAAACGUCCCAUGAAUAAAGUGUGAGGUCAGCCUACAGUAGUGUUUGCCUAAAAUAUAGUUUUGGGACUUAAUGGAGAUUAUGUUGCAAAUACAGGUAGAGUCCGAUUUGUGAAAAAAUUAGUUUCAACCUAAGGUUUUUCAAUCAGUUCCAAGAACAAUGGAAGAACACUCAGUAGUUGGUUUUCAGGUGAAAAUAUCAGUGUGGUACUCUACGAGAAGCUGGAUGGAGAGAAAAUAAAGUUCUUCAUUUUAGUGUUAUUGAUACAGCUGAUUUUAGGAAUAGGUUGGAAAUGUCAGAUUUUACUAUAAGACUGCAAAUCUCAGUUUUUAAUCAAUUUUAAAUAAUCUCUGCCAACAGAAUUACUCCUUUGAGGUUGAGAUACCCUGUAUUAUAUUCUUAUUUAUUUAUUCUUAUUCUCUAAUAGAGCUGAGUUGGUACAUUGCAAAAUGCUGACUUAAAAUUCAGACUGGGCAUCUUGCCCACACUGAUCCAGAGAGAACCAGCACCAAACCCUCCAGGGAGUGGCCAGGUACCAGCCCUGCCAUCUGACCACUAGUGGGCAGACAUGGCCCUUGGCUCGGGGGAAACUUCUAUCACAGAGGGGAAUCAGGGUCAACAACUUCGGGGGGACAGUUCCUUUUAGUGCCUAAUCCAACUGGCUGACUUCAGGAUAUGAGUGUAGAUUUACUGCCCCUGCCCCUGAGCUCCGACCACCACCUUCAUGGGAAGGUGAUUCCGCCUGGUAAUUAACUGUGAAAUAUUGAGUGGCCAGUGCGUGACCCGAGUGUUUGUGCCAAGCAAAAGUUUCACUUGCAUUUUUUUUCUUUCUUCUUUCUCUCUUUCACUGCCAGUUUGUGUGUGUGUUUUUAAGUAUUAACUCUCAUGGAAGCACAUGCUUAUUUAAAAUUCCCAGACGAUGAGUCAGACCUGCUCAGUGAGGUUCCUGGAGAGUCACAUGAUGUGCUUUGAUGAAACUUCACCUUAUGAAAGGUUGGAGGAAAAAGUCAGAAGAGUUUCAGUCUUAUAUACACACACACACACAUGUACAUAUAUGCACGCCCACCUAUGUCCCUGUGGGCAUGUCCUUCUAUGUAAUGGUAUAAUUUUGCAUAUGUUUAUACACAAGAGUUGGGAGAGACAGACAUGCAUACAGGCAAAGAACCCCUUUGCUUUUUGUUCCUUCUCCUGUCCCUCUGUAGAUAUUUAAAAAUCAGGGAGCCAACAGUUCCUACCUCUUUGAAGCUAGAAGGAAGCAGAAUCCCUGUAGUGGUCUGUGCUGCUCUUCGCCUGUUGUGGGUAUAUAUGCCUUGGACUCAGAAAAGUGAGACAGGAGAUCUAGACUGCAAAGUGCUAAAGACCUGGCAUUGCUGAGACAGGGCUCGCAAGUUGUUUUACUAACUGUUCUGAUUAUUUGCUUCAGGUGUGUCUAGGCCUCCAAAAACUCUGUAUUUUAAUUGACUCUUUUCUUCAAAUCACUUCAAUUUGAUACUUUGUGGUAUAACUGACAGAGCUCCUUCAUUUAAGCAACAAAGCAGGCUACCUCCUGUGAGUGCAUCUAAAUCACAGUGAUGUUUGAAGCUCUCCCAACACAUUUUUUAUAUGUAAUUUCCCUUAAGUGAAACUUGUUCUAGAAGUGACAUAUGAAGUACCCUACAGAGAUCCUGUCUGGUGAUGUGUAUGUACAGAGGGCAAAGAGGCAGAUCAUCUCAGAAGGGAAAAAUUGUCUUCCCAAGACCGAGGGUGCCAGCCGCAUGUGCGGAGUGACUUGACAUCUGAAGACACGGCUGACUCCAUUGGCUGCAUCCAUCCAUUCAGUUCACGAACAGUUACAGAGAAGUUGCUGUGUGCUCCCCAGAGCUGAAUGCUGCAGAUUCCAGAAAACUCUACAGCAGUCCUCUCGCCAGUGCUCCAGUGUACAACUGCUGAGGGUUGCGUAAACAAAUAGCUGUGAUUCAGGAGGGAAAGCACAGGGAUAACUAACUUUGUAACUUUGCCUAACAGAAUCUGGUAAGGCGUCACCAAGGAGGUGAUGCCUGAUCCAGAUCCUUACAGACAAGUAGGAAACGACUUGCUGAAAAUAUUAGUAAAGCAGAGGGGAAAAUGCCUUGAGUGUUGGAGAGGGAGGACUGAAAGAGAAGGGCCUAUUAAAGAUAUCAUCUAGCAGAAGCGAGAACUGCUGGUACUGGGAGGUUUGAAGGUGCCAUUCUUUUACUCUCCUAUUACUCCCCUAUUAUGAAGCAAAAUACAUUCCAGGGGAGGGUGUACAACCAGGAGUGGGAAAGCCCCUAUAAUGCAGGCUCUCAUGUCCAUAAAUUGGCUCACUUCCUCUUUCACUCAUUCUGACUCUCUUUUCUCUUCUCGUGCUCAGCCUCCCUCAUCUGUAGACCUCUGCAGAGUGGUAUCCUUUGUACUUAGACACCGGGCUUCACAUGCCACCCUUUCGACCAACAGUGCCCACUCACUAGGAUUGCUGCAGCAGAAUCCCAGAAUCCCUGGAGGAGAGAAUCUUCUUUGCCCCCUGAUCCCACAUGCUGCAGUCAGGAGUGGAGUCCUUGAAUAGGAAGGGCAUUUUCAGGACAGGCAUGCUGUGGUUGAGCACCCAGAGUCAUGUGUGACGAUUUUACUUUGAAAGUACCAACUGGAAAUGAAGCUGGCAGCAGGACACUGGAACCUUUUGCACAAUGCUAGCCUAAAUGUACUGAGGUUGUUUUCUAUGAAUUUUUUCUCUUUAUAAGUAGUCCUUGCAUGCUUACACACACACACACACACACACACACACACACAUCAUGUAUGGUUCUCUAGGCUUCUAGGAAGGUGGGUUUCUCCAAAAACAGAAGGGUGGAGGGAUUAUUCCAGGAUUAAGUGUGAUCUGAAGGCAUUUGCAAUUGGAAAUAAUUCCUUUGGAAGUUCUUUUGAUAUUGUAGUCUGCAUGUCCGUUCCAGGAGAUCUAUGUGCUGUGUGUGUAGGUGGAGUCUGCAGCCUGGAAUUCCUUCCAAAUUUUCUACCCUAGAAAGAUAAUGGGGUUGGUAGCGUAAGUUCCUCUGCUUGGUUUUGUGCCUUUGUUAAUUUGCCAAUCAAAGUGUCUAGGAGGCUGUGGAAAUUGUUAAGAAAAUCUUUGUUCCAGCAUUUCUAUAGACCUGUUAGCAUCUGGACUUAAAAAUUAAUAAUUUAGUGUCACAUCAGAAGUCAUGUCACUCAAGCUUGUAUUUAUGGAGGUGACUCUCACUCCUUUGAUACAUUUUCAUGUAUCAGUGGUUCAUUGCUUGCCAGGGCCUCUUCUGAUUGGUAGCUGGCUCUUCUCCAAGAUUGUAGAAGCGAACCUAUUCUGGCUGGUAGUCUACCAUGUUCACAACCGCUUCCUCUUCCUCUCUGCAUAAGAGACAUGGUAACACAGCAUUAUUCAGGAAAGUUCAUGAGCUCCAGACUUAGAGAUGGCACAAAACACUUCCAGCCACAUGAAUUCACUGGCUAGAUGUCACUCAUGGGACUGCAUGAUCACUAGUAUGGCUGCGUUUGGCCCAAGAAGAAGAGGAAAUGAGUGCGGUAAAAGUCCAGCUGGUCUCGUCCAUGAAGUUCUUGGUUGGCUUUCAUACUGUUGAUUUCGCUGAGCAUAAUAAGGCAAAAAAGUGUAACUUUUUCAAUAUUAAGCUGACUUGAAAUUGAAAAUCCCUUAGCAAAUUUCAAAUUCAGUUUGAAUUCAAUUCAAAUUCAGUGUAAAUUUCUAAAACAUAGUGUCCCUUAUGCCAUACUGUAAUUUACAACAUGAGUAGGCAUUAAGUAGCUGAAAACAUACUCACUUCACAAACACCCAGACACUCAUGCAUUAUUUUGAUAUUGAAUUGCGAGACAGUUUCCAACCUCUUAGGUUGAGUACAGAUCUCCAAAAGAGAGAAACAGAAGUGGAGUAUGUGUGAGAAGAGACUCUAUGAUUUUCUUACCAAAGUUGGUGUUUUAAACAAAAAUCUGGAAUGAUACUAGAAAUUGACAAUAAAAUAUUUCAUUAUUGAAUAAAACUAUAAAAUCACCUUGCUCAUGAGUUUAUCUGUCAUUGUAUAGAUUAUUCCACAUAUGUAGAACUCAAAUUUAUAAUAGAUAUAUUCUUAUAUAUUUUAUAUCAUUUCACGACAAAUUGAAUAUUGUUCCGAAUUGUUCAGGGCAAUUAAACCUCUAUUUGUUUAGGCUGUUAGUUUCCAUUGGUUGUACUUGUUUCUUAUAUUUGUAGGAAAUUAUGGUGAAGAAUUAAUUUGGUCAGUUGGGGAAAGAGGGAGUACAAAACUAUGUAUUUCUUUUUAUUAGGUCCAGUCCCCUGGAUUUAUAACUACACCCCUCAUUACGACUCUAGAGGAAGAAUGAAUUAUGGUUUGAAUCCUAGAGAAAGUUGUCAGAUGAAAUCUGGGAACACCCAAGGAAUAACGCAAUACCACAGAGUUAACAUGAUUGAUGAUAUCAUAGCUCAUUUUUAACAGAUGUCAAAAGAAGAAAAAUCAAGCUGUCAUUCCACAUACUGAGCCCUUGUUCACUUAACAGAAGACCUUUAUAAGUAAAUCAAAAUUAAUGGUAAGUACUCAGUGGGUUAGAUGCUGAGCAUUUGGGUGACUUUUAGAUGUUGGAAAAAAAAAACAUAUGAGAAAAAGCAGAAUUUCUAGAAGAGAUGCUUAAAUAUUCCUUUUUUUUUCUAUAUCUAAUCAUAAUGUUUCAUUUGGCUUUGGUGAGUGGAUUCUAGUUAGGAAAAGGUUCUUUUUAGGAACUCAACCACAUAUGUAGAACUCAAAAUAUCACACAUGCCUCCAGUCCUCAAGCUAGCUCUACUGUCACUGCCAGCUGAAAUCCCUCUCCCAGUUGGGUGCUAGCUGGGGGAGAGGGUGGGUUAUACUUCUUGAUGGUGUAUGCAAGUGCACAUAAUUUGGAGAAAGUAAGGGGGAAAUCAUUAUGUCCUAAUUUGGUUAAAGAAGAUCAGCAAUGUCUUUGCUGGAUCCAACAUUUGUACUGAGCCCGAUUCCUACGUUUUCUCCACAUAUCCCAGUGUUGUUGACCCAUCUCCAGAAAAAAAGGCAGCUGACUGGGUGUAGAAUUGUCUAUGAGAUGCGUUCAGGAGCACCCGUACCACCCCUCUCCUGCGUAGGUCUUUGCAUCGCUCUUGGAGAAAUGGAUGAGCCUGGUGUACACUCUGAUUCCUACUCCAGUGUGGUCCUGGAAAAGUCAGUUGUCCCACAUUAGGGCAGACACUGCUUCCCUCUUAAUCCAGCAUCUGGGGAUUCCACACGCAUGACGCAGAAUCUCCUCCCUAGCCUGAUGCUGCUAGAUGAACCCCCAGGCCCGCAUGGUUUGGGUAGGCUAUAUUUGCCAGCCUGAGUGGAGACCUCCCGUUUUAAUUCAAAAUUAAAAACUCAGAAAUCUUGUUCUUAUUAAACACUCUUAAUCACAUAUGAGCACACACUCAUAUACACAUAUUAUGUACACCUGCCCAGAAAGAACAUAUUUUAGUUUUCUUUGGAACACCAGCAAAAUACAUAGUACCCCUUGCAGAGAAUGUUAAUUUAGAUGAACAAUGCAGAACAAAAGCACUUUAGGCAUGAUGUCUCAUUUUUAAGUUGAAAAUAGCAUACUAGAAUUAAAUUUUGAAAAAUUCACUCAGUGUUGUCAAAAAUGCUAAUUUGAGUGCAUUUAUAUUUUUAACUGUAUUUUUUAUAGUUGGGUAGCAGGGAUGGGCAAAGUUUUCUAGAAAGGGCCAGUAAAUAUUUUAGACUUGGCAGGUGGUAGGUGUUGCCCUGAGAAAAUAGCUACGGAUAAAUAACCACAGAUAAAUACAUCUGUAAACAAGCCUGGCCGUGUGCCAGCAGUCCUGUAUACUAAAUCAAGCUACAGGUGGGAUGUGGUCUGUGGUGAUAGUGGCUCCAGCUCUUGUUGUAGCAACCCUCAUGGCAGAGACUCCCAGGAAUUCUUCUCAAAUGAUUCCUAAUUGUGGCUUUUCAUCUGAAAUAUAGACUAAACUAUUGUUUUCUCCCCCUUUGUUAUGAAAGAUGCAACCUGCCUACUGGAGGGAACAGACCCCGAUUGCAAGCCUGUCAUCUCCAGGGUCUCGUCCUAGACAGGAAGGGCCUGUAGAAACUGGGAGAUGAGUUCAUCCCUCAACUGACGGCCAAAGAAUUUGAAGCAAGAACACAGAGUCUUGGUUCCACAAAACGCUGUACUUAAAAGGACACUGCUGAGCGCUUCCUGUUCAGUACUGCUGGGGACAGCCUUGAAAAUAAUGACCUACUUUCCCUCAGCAAAGCCAACUCUGAGAGAGGAUGAUGUCUACAAAUGAGGGCUCAUAAAAGAAUAUAAUUAAACACUGGUGCGCCUCAGAGUGAGAGAACUUUGAGAUAAUGACUACAGUGGCACGCACUGUACCACAGAGAACAAGAUGUCACAAUUGUAUAUUUGCAGGUUGAUUUAAUCUGACAGGAUUCUUAGCGACAGUGAACGUGGUCUGUCUGAGCCGAGCGGCGCAGCUGGUGUGUCCGACCAAUGCGGCUCUGUUUAUCUUUGUGAACUUACACGUGUCAAUUAGCAAACUUCUUAAUCUGGCUGCACGUGCUUAUCUUUGGAGGUCCCCUGUAGAUCUUCCUUGUCUGAGGCACAGAGUGUGUAAAUCAUCCCUUUCAUUUAAAUAGAGUCUUUUUUAAAAUUCUCUGUAUGACUUUAUUUUCCUGAUUUGAUUUUUGAAUGAUAGUCUCUUAUCCUAUCUUCACAAGAAUACCUCAUAGACACUAGUAGGUUUGGGUCCCCCUUACAGGAAAUCCAUGAGAGGGGAGAACAGACUAAAGUAGGAGUGAAAACCAUGGCCCUUGGACCAUAUCCAGUCCACCACCUAUUUCUGUGUGGGCCAUGAUUUUCAUAAAUACUUGAAAAACUAUCAAAAGAAGAUUUUU
RNAcentral lists this long non-coding RNA (49173 nucleotides) under Marmota monax (woodchuck). Lineage: Eukaryota; Metazoa; Chordata; Mammalia; Rodentia; Sciuridae. The record is from RNAcentral.